Molecule: long non-coding RNA, 44884 nt
Filed under: Triticum aestivum (bread wheat)
Lineage: Eukaryota; Viridiplantae; Streptophyta; Magnoliopsida; Poales; Poaceae
Description: long non-coding RNA (TAES_LNC007319)
Source: RNAcentral
GGAGGAGAUGACGGCGGUGAAGGGGGUGAAGGGGGUGAAUUCGGAGGGGCCGGCCGGGCGCGGGGGCUGCUGCUUGGGGGCGGGCCUGGGGUUAGGGUUAGGGUUUGAGGGGCGGGAGGAGGAGGUGGAGGCGGAGGGGGGAGGGCCGGAGCCGAGGACGUGGGAGGGGCCCUUGAAGGACGGGGCGGAGGAGGAGGUGACCUUCUUCAUGAGAUCCUUCAUCUUGUCCUUCAUCAUGGAGGCCGGCGGCGACGAGGUGUAGGCGGCGGAGGAGGAGGAGGAAGAAGAUUGGCGUGGACGGGGAGUAGGCUUGGUGGUGGUUGUCUUGUCUCCGCGGGGUUCGUUCGAGGGGAAGAAGCAACGCGAGGGGGGCGAAUUGAUAAAGAAGGAAGAGCUACGGAAGUACGGAGGUGGAGAUCCAGCUGGGAAAUGAAGCCGGGCAUCCGGCAAUGGUACUAGUAUGGUACUUCGCUGCCAAGGCAUCUUCGCCGAGUGGGCCGGGCCGCAGAGGGCCAACCACCAUGGCCCAUCGGGGCGGCUAUACUCGUGGGUACCCAUGCAGCCUGAGUGGGGAAAUGGCAGCCGACCAAGGGUGCUCCUCUCCCUGAAAAAAAAAAAACCAAGGGUGCUCCUAUGCACCACCUUCAGCGAAUGGAAACUGGCGCUCACAGCAGUUACACUAGUAUAAUUCUCAAAAAAAAAAAAACAGUUACACUAAUAUACUCCUAUGUUUUAGGCUAACCACCAGACCUACUUAGGGCAUGUCCAAUGCAAGGCGCCUAUUUGGGUGCUUGAGCAAUAAUAAAAACAUAGAUUUUAUACUUAGCGCCUGCCUGGAGUCUUCGCGUACAACGCCUGCACGUAAGCACCUGCCCCCUCGUCAACGCAACUUGUGUGGAGAAAAGAUCGGAGCGCUCGGCGCAUGGACUGGCAUCGGCGCCACAUAUUUUCCUACGAUCGACUGGGAUUCUGGAAUAACCGCAAGGAAAUCAAACCUGACGUCAUUUCUUAGCGCCUGCAUUGGACAUGUCCUUAGCGCUAGUGAUUGAAAUCAUCGCGAGUAUCAUAAGAACGAUUGCAGACGCGCUAUUUAUUGCACAGAAUACUGUAUGGUUUACUUUAGAGCUUAGAUUUUCGAAUUUCUUGAAUACAGUUUGGAAAACGUGAUUUUUUUUGGAAAAACGUGAACAACAUUUGAAAGUUCUCAGAUUUCAAAAAAAGUUCACAAACAUGUACAAAAAGUUCGUCUAUUAAAAAAAAGUUCACAAAAUCAAAAGAAGUUCAUGUAUUCAAAAAAAACGUUCAUGAAUAUGAAAAAAGGUUCGUCGAAUUUGAAAAAAAAUCAUCGAUUUUGAAAAAAAAUUCAUCAAUUUUGAAAAGAGUUCAUCGCACAUGAAAACUAGUUCAUCGAAUUUGACAAAAGGUUCAUGGAUCUUGAAAAAAGUGCAUUGAUUUUUUUUAAGUUCAUAAAAGUUGAAGGAAAGUUCGUCGAUUUUGGAAAAAGUUCAUAAAAUUUGAAAUUUAGUUCAUUGAAUCUGAAAAACAAAUACAUAAAUUUUGAAGAAAAAAUUCACGAAUUUGGAAACAGCUCAUCGAGCAGAGGAAAAAAGGAAAAGGAAAAAAAAGAAAAAAGGGAAAUGAAAGAGAAGAAGAAAGUAGUAGAAAAGAGAUGGAAGUGGACACGUGAAGAUUGCUGGCGCAGUGGUUAGUGCAACCUAGCUCGAAGCAGGAGGUCUCCGGUUCGAGUUGCCAGUGCGCACGCCCAUAGUUUUUCUUCUCUUUGAAAAACAAAGAAAGCAAAGUCAGACGGGCUGGCCAAGCACGAACGGUGUAGGCGUCCAUUUGCGAAAACGCCUGUAAUGGGCGCCUUAAGCGUCGAAUAGGGUUUGCCUCGACUAAGGCGUUAGGAUUCCCGGUCAAAAAAACAAGGCGUCAGGAUUCAGGGUUAACAGUCGCCUCCAUUCCCUAAAAAAAAUAUAGCCACCUCCAAUCUUUUCUCCGUCUCGUUGGUGGCCUCCAACGUGCAACCCAAACAUCAGCAGAGUAGGCGCCGCUCGACCUCCAUCGCUUGCGCAGGAAGAUGCUUCACUCAAGUUGUCUGCAUCAACCCAAUCCAGUCGACAUACGGAUCCCGAUUUCUCUACACAACUUGUAGCAACAAUGAGAAAGGGUAAGCUACACUCGUGCACACCCGUCCCUUAUGCCAGUGGCACCAAAUGCCCAGAUGUUGUUAACAUGAUGAAGAAGGUCACCAAUGCGAGUAAGUUAGCAAAUGAGGUCACAAAUGUAUAUUUCACGUGUAUUAUCUCAGAUAGCACCCACCGUGAUGGCGCCAUAUACACACAUAGGGGUUUGAAGGAAGAUUGGGAUAUCGAAGACCGCAGCGAGACUCAGUUGGAGCCGAUGAUGUUCUCCAAGGCAACUGAAUGUUCGAAUUUUGGAAGAAACAUGUUGCAAUGUUUCUCAUUGGGGUUGGCUGAGUGUUCCACCAACAAUAACCACAUUCAAUUGUAUGGGUGCAUAGCAACGCGGAAUGAUGGGAUUGCAUGGUUAACUAUGUUUUGAAUCGCAGCAUGGAUGACCCCAUAAUCGCACAUAAGCGUUCUCUCAUCCAAAUGAUUGGCCCUAAGAGAGGCAUUGAAAUGGCUCACCCUGUAUUAAUCGAGUUCGAUAUGAGGAUCAAGAAUGGAGGGAAAGAGGAAGAUGAUCUGCAGUUGAUAGAUGGGGCAAUAAAUUGCAACCUCUAUAGACCAAGGAAACCAAUCAUACAUUGCAUUAAGGGCGAUUUGUGGUGCCGUUGACAUAUCUUUAGCCUAUGUUGAGUACGUUGUGGAGNNNNNNNNNNCAACGAUAGAGGUUGUUAUAUGAGAAAUGCAUCAUGGCUUCGGUUUAUCUUUGUGAUCCUUUGUUUAUGUUUGGGAGGCCUAUGAAGAGAUUCAGCUUUUCCAUGGCACCAUUGAUCAGUCGUGUGGCUUCAGAAGGUUUGUGCUUGCUAUCUCGUUAGGUGACGUGAUGAUAUUGAAGCUCAAGUUAGGUAACAGUGGUGUUGAAAUUCGUCGUUCUUUUAAAGUUAAGCCACAUGGAUGUUCUAGUCGGCAGAUAAAACAUGAGCUCGCAAACAUCUCGGUGAAGGUGACUUUGUCCACUAUUUUGAACGUGGCGGAAAUUUUGCUUCCUGGGUUCAUGGUACUGUUAAUCAGUCACGUGGCAUCAUAAGAUAUAUGGCUUGAUGUCACGACGAGCACUGCUGCUAUUGAAGUUUGGCAAUAACAAAAUGUUUAGCGUUGUGGUCCAUCAAACUAAGCUAUAUGGAUGUGCUAGUCGAAAGACAAAUCUCGAGCUCGCUUCUGUCACGGUGGAGGUAACUUGUUGUGUUAUUUGAACUCCCCCUAUAUUUCUCCACUUAGUCCUUAAUUAUGUUAUUUGAUACAUGCUACUUCUUGAGCUUGCGUUGGUUUUUUCCUUGAAGAGGAAAGGGUGAUGCAGCAAAGUAGAGAUAAGUAUUUUUCCUCAGUUUGAGAACCAAGGUAUCAAUCCAGUAGGAGACAACGCACGAAUCACCAAAUACCUGCACAAACAAUCAAACAACUUGCCAACACGAUAAAGGGGUUGUNNNNNNNNNNNNNNNNNNNNNNNNNNNNNNNNNNNNNNNNNNNNNNNNNNNNNNNNNNNNNNNNNNNNNNNNNNNNNNNNNNNNNNNNNNNAAUCCCUUCACGAUUACUUGCAAAAGUGAGAUCUGAUAAAGAUAGAUAAACGAUAAAGUAAAUAUUUUUUGGUAUUUUUGGUUUAUAGAUCGGAAAGUAAAAGAUUGCAAAAUAGUAGAUCGGAAGCUAAUAUGAUGGAAAAUAGACCUGGGGGCCAUAGGUUUCACUAGAGACUUCUCUCAAGAUAGCAAAUAAUACGGUGGGUUAACAAAUUACUGUCAAGAAAUUGAUAGAAAAGCGCAAAGUUAUGACGAUGUCUAAGGCAAUGAUCAUGAAUAUAGGCAUCACGUCUGUAUCAAGUAGACCGAAAUGAUUCUGCAUCUACUACUAUUACUCCACACAUCGAUCGCUAUCCAACAUGCAUCUAGAGUAUUAAGUUCAUAAAGAACGGAGUAACGCAUUAAGUAAGAUGACAUGAUGUAGAGGAAUUAACUCAAGUAAUAUGAUGAAAACCCCAUCUUUUUAUCCUCGAUGGCAACAAUACAAUACAUGCCUUGCUGCCCCUACUGUCAUUGGGAAAGGACAUCGCCAGAUUGAACCCAAAGCUAAGCACUUCUCCAUUGCAAGAAAAACCAAUCUAGUUGGCCAAACCAAACCGAUAGUUUGAAGAUAAUUACAAAGAUAUCAAAAAAUGCAUAAAAUAAUUCAGAGAAGAUUCAAAUAAUAUUCAUAGAUAAGUUGAUCAUAAAUCCACAAUUCAUCGGAUCUCGGCAAACACACCACAAAAAAGUAUUACAUCGAAUAGAUCUCCAAGAACAUCAAGGAGAACAUGGUAUUGAGAAUCAAAGAGAGAGAAGAAGCCAUCUAGCUACUAGCUAUGGACCCGUAGGUCUGUGGUAAACUACUCACGCUUCAUCAGAAGGGAAAUAGAGUUGAUGUAGAAGCCCUCUAUGAUUGAAUCCCCCUCCAGUAGGGUGUCGGAGAAGGUCCCUAGAUGGGAUCUCACGGGUACAGAAGGUUGCGGCGGCGGAGAAGUGUUUUCGUGGAUGCUUCUGGUGGUUUGGGGAUAUAUGGGAAUAUAUAAGCGAAAGAAUUAGGUAAGGAGGGUCACGGGGGGGGGGCACAAGGGUGGGGGCGCGCCCUCCCUCCUUGUGGCCGCCUCGUGGCUCCUCCGACUUCAUCUCCAAGUCUCCUGGUUGUUUUCUGCUCCAAUAAAAAUUGAAGGUUUCAUUCCGUUUGGACUCCGUUUGGUAUUCCUUUUCUACGAAACUCAAAAACAAGGAAAGAACAAGAACUGGCACUAGGCUCUAGGUUAAAAGGUUAGUCCCAAAAAUAAUAUAAAAUAUCAUAUUAAUGCAUAUAAAAUAUCCAAAAAGAUAAUAUAAUAGCAUGGAACAAUAAAAAAUUAUAGAUACGUUGGAGAUGUAUCAAGCAUCCCCAAGCUUAAUUCAUGCUCGUCCUCAAGUAGGUAAAUGAUAAAAACAGAAUUUUUGAUGUGGAAUGCUACCUAACAUAUUUAUCCAUGUAAUUUUCUUUAUUAUGGCAUGAAUGUUAAGAUCCAUAAGAUUCAAAAGAAAAGUUUAAUAUUGACAUAAAACAAUAAUACUUCAAGCAUGCUAACAAGGCAAUUAUGUCUUCUCAAAAUAACAUGGCCAAAGAAAGCUUAUCCCUCCAAAAUCAUAUAGUCCGGCUAUGCUCCAUCUUCAUCAUACAAAAUAUUAAAAUCAUGCACAACCCCGAUGACAAGCCAAGCAAUUGUUUCAUACUUUUGAUGUUCUUGAAGGUAUAUCUUUAGAUCUUGCAAUCGAAUCUUUUAGUUUCUUGUUUUAUCACUAGUUUAGUCUAUAAAAGAAAACAAAAAAAUGGAAUUGAGGGUGCCUCAUAUGCUUCAUCUUUUUAAUAUCAUUCAUGAAAAUAAGGAUUCCAAUAAUUGUGCCAAAAUGUUAGAAGAAGAAUGCAUUAAAAUGUUUGGCACUAAAUCUUUGAAUGAUGAGCAUGGUUGCAAUGUUGUUAGUACGAGCUCUUUGAAUAUCCAUAGUACUAAUGAUGAUUGCACUAGUCAUGAUGAAAAUGUCUCUUAUAAGCAUGUCAAUUUUUGUGGAGUGCAUAGAGUUUGCAAGUACACACCAAAUAGGGAAGAUAGAUUUUGCAAGAGGCAUAAGUAUUUAGAAACCAAAUGGUUGCAAGAAAGGCUAGAUGUUUGUGCUAAAAAUUUAAAUUUUCUUAAUCAUCCUUGUGAACUUUGGAAUGAACAUGGUCAUUUAAAUAUCCAAUGCAAAUUGUUUCAUGAUUGUAUCGUGUCCAAGAAUUGUGAUGACUUGAUUUCCCUUGCACAUCAUAAUGAACUUAGUUUGCUUUUGGGUUAUGAAGAAAUGAAACGUAUAACUAAGGAUAUGCCAAAAUUUGUCCUUGAUAAAGUUCUUGAUUUUGAUAUAGAAGAAAUUUUAAUGUAUUGUGCGUUAAAUUGCAUUGAAAAUCCUUAUAUUGCCAAUUACAUAAAGAAAAUAAAACAAAUAGAAGAUGAAGAGAAUACUAAUGAAAGGGAAGAGACUUCCCAAUAUCCUCCUAUUAUUUCUUAUGAUGAAUCAGGUAACGAGGAGGAGCUUUCUAUUCAACCAAUCUCAUUAAUAAGGAGCUCAAAAAAGAGGAUUAAACCCACACAUGAUGUGAAGAAGAAAAAGAAAAGACGGAGAAGCAAAGGUAGAAAGGUAUCCCUCCCAAAUGAUGUUGCUCCUAUUGCUUGUGAUGAUGAUAAUUGAUAUACUAUUGGUGCUACCCAUAUUAUUAAUGAUGAGAGUGAUUAUGCUUAUGAUAUGAAAAGGUCCAAGCUUAGGGAUGCUAUGUUUGAUGAGAGUGACAUGUUUGAGAAUAUAUUUGCUGUAAUUAAUGUUUGUCCCAAGCUUGGGGAUGCUAUGUUUAAUGAAGAUGAUAUUUUUAGCCUCCCAAGUUUUGAUGAGCAAAUUUAUUAUGAUGAUAGCAUGCCUCCUAUUUAUGAUGAUUAGUGUGAUGACACUUAUGACAUAAAAAGUAGUAAUGAUUAUAUUUAUAAAACUUGUCAUGAUUAUGAUUAUCCUUUUUCUCAACAUUACUCUUUUAAUGUGGAAACAAUUUAUAGUAUUCGAGUCUCUUAUGAUACUCCCACUAUUCCGAAUGAGAAGAAUUUUGCUUAUGUGGAGAGUAAUAAAAUUUCUAUGAUUGUAGAUCAUGAAAAGAAUGCUUUAGGUGAUGGUUAUAUUGUUGAAAUUAUUCAUAAUGCUACUGAAAAUUAUUAUGUGGGAGGAAUAUAUGCUUGUAGGAAUUGCAAUAAUACCAAGUUUCCUCUCUAUGUGCUUAAAAUCUUGAAGUUAUGCUUGUUUUGCUUUCCUAUGCUAGUUGAUUCGUGUUCCCAUAAAUUGUUUGCUCACAAAAUCCCUAUGCAUAGGAAGUGGAUUAAACUUAAAUGUCGGGGGUUGGGUACGACAUAUGCCAAAGGAUGGCUUAUCAUGGUGGGAGGGAGUAGAACGUCGCCGGUGCCCGGAAGCGGGAUCAGGCGAAGACAUAUCACUUUAGUCGGAUCGGAUUCGAUGAAAAGGGUCCUUAUGAAGGGUAAAUAGCAAUUGACAUAUCACGUUGUGGUUUUUGCGUAGGUAAGAAACGUUCUUGCUAGAAACCCAUAGCAGCCACGUAAAAUAUGCAAACAACAAUUAGAGGACGUCUAACUUGUUUUUGCAGGGUAUGCUAUGUGAUGUGAUAUGGCCAAAAAGAAUGUGAUGAAUGAUAUGUGAUGUAUGAGAUUGAUCAUGUUCUUGUAAUAGGAAUCAAGACUUGCAUGUCGAUGAGUAGGACAACCGGUAGGAGCCAUAGGCGUUGUCUUAAUUUAUUGUAUGACCUACGUGUCAUUGAACAACGCCAUGUAAUUACUUUACUUUAUUGCUAACCGGUAGCCAUAGUAGUAGAAGUAAUAGUUGGCGAGACAACUUCAUGAAGACACGAUGAUGGAGAUCAUGAUGAUGGAGAUCAUGGUGUCAUGCCGGUGACGAUGAUGAUCAUGGAGCCCCGAAGAUGGAGAUCAAAAGGAGCAAAAUGAUAUAGGCCAUAUCAUGUCACUAUUUCAUUGCAUGUGAUGUUUAUCAUGUUUGUGCAUCUUAUUUGCUUAGAACGACGGUAGUAAAUAAGAUGAUCCCUCACUAAAAUUUCAAGAAAGUGUUCCCCCUAACUGUGCACCGUUGCGAAAGUUCGUCGUUUCGAAGCACCACGUGAUGAUCGGGUGUGAUAGAUUCUAACGUCCACAUACAACGGGUGUAAGCCAGAUUUACACACGUGAAACACUUAGGUUGACUUGACGAGCCUACCAUGUACAGACAUGGCCUCGGAACACAAGAGACCGAAAGGUCGAGCAUGAGUCGUAUGGUAGAUACGAUCAACAUGAAGAUGUUCACCGAUAAUGACUAGUCCGUCUCACGUGAUGAUCGGACACGGCCUAGUUGACUCGGAUCAUGUAAUCACUUAGAUGACUAGAGGGAUGUCUAUCUGAAUGGGAGUUCAUUAGAUGAACUUAAUUAUCCUGAACAUAGUCAAAAGCCCUUUGCAAAUUAUGUUAGCGCUCGCGCUUUAGUUCUACAGUUUUAGAUAUGUUCCUAGAGAAAAUAUAGUUGAAAGUUGACAGUAGCGAUUAUGCGGAAAGUAGAAAGCUUAUGUCCUUAAUGCACCGCUCAGUGUGCUGGACCUCGAACGUGGUCUGUGGAUGUUGCGAACAUCUGACAUACAUGUUUUGAUGACUACAUGAUAGUUCGGUAUUGUUAAAUGGUUUAGAAUUGAGGCACCGAAGACAUUUUGAAAUGUCGCAGAACAUAUGAGAUGUUUCGAGGGCUGAAAUUGGGAUUUCAGGCUCGUGCCCACGUCAAGAGGUAUAAAACCUCCGACGAUUUUCUUAGCCUGCAAACUAAGGGAGAAAAGCUCAAUCGUUGAGCUUAUACUCAGAUUGUCUGGGUACGACAAUCACUUGAAUCGAGUGGGAGUUGAUCGUCCAGAUGAGAUAGUGAUGUUUCUCCAAAGUCAUUGCCACCAAGCUGCUAGAGCUUCGUGAUGAACUAUAACAUAUCAGGGAUAGAUAUGAUGAUCCUUGAGAUAUUCGCGAUGUUUGACACCGCGAAAGUAGAAAUCAAGAAGUAGCAUCAAUUGUUGAUGGUUGGUAAAACCACUAGUUUCAAAAAGGGCAAGGGCAAGAAGGGAUACUUCAUGAAACGGCAAAACAAUUGCUACUCUAGUGAAAACCCAAGGUUGAACCCAAACCCGAGACUAAGUGCUUCUGUAAAGAGAGGAACGGACACUAAAGCAGAACCACCCUAGAUACUUAGUAGAUAAGAAGGCAGGCAAGGUCGACGGAAGUAUAUUGGAUAUACAUUAUGUUAAUGUGUACUUUACUAGUACUCCUAGUAGCACCAGGGUAUUAGAUACCGGUUCGGUUGCUAAGUGUUAGUAACUCGAAAUAAAAGCUACGGAAUAAACGGAGACUAGCUAAAGGUGAGCUGACGAUAUGUGUUGGAAGUGUUUCCAAGGUUGAUGUGAUCAAGCAUCGCACGCUCCCUCUACCAUCGAGAUUUGGUGUUUGUGUUGAGCAUAGACAUGAUUGGAUUAUGUCUAUCGCAAUACAGUUAUUCAUUUAAGGAGAAUAAUGGUUACUCUGUUUAUUUGAAUAAUACCUUCAAUGGUCUUGCACCUAAAAAAAUGGUUUAUUGAAUCUCGAUCGUAGUGAUACACAUUUUCAUGCCAAAAGAUAUAAUAUAGUAAUGAUAGUACCACUUACUUGUGGCACUGCCAUGUAAGUCAUAUUGGUGUAAAACACAUGAAGAAGCUCCAUGUUGAUGGAUCUUUGGACUCACUCGUUUUUGAAAAGUUUGAGACAUGCGAACCAUGUCUAAUGGUGUAUACGCAUGAAGAAACUCCAUGCAGAUGGAUUGUUUGGACUCACUUGAUUUUGAAUCACUUGAGAUAUGCAAAUCAUACCACAUGGGCAAGAUGACUGAAAAGCCUCAUUUUUCAGUAAGAUGGAACAAGAUAGCAACUUGUUGGAAGUAACACAUUUUGAUGUGUGCAGUCCAAUGAGUGCUGAGGCAUGCAGUGAAUAUCGUUAUGUUCCUACUUCACAAAUGAUUCGAGUAGAUGUUGAGUAUAUUUGCUUGAUGAAACACAAGUAUGAAUUAUUGAAUGGUUCAAGUAAUUUCAGAGUGAAGUUGGAGAUCAUUGUGACAAGAGGAUAAAAUGUCUAUGAUAUGAUCAUAGAGAUGAGUAUCUGAGUUACGAGCUUUGGCACGCAAUUAAGACAUUGUGGAAAUUAUUUCACAAUUAAUACCGCCUGGAACACCAUAGUGUGAUGGUGUGGCCAAACAUCAUAGUUACACCCUAUUGGAUAUGGUGCGUACCAUGAUGUCUCUUAUCGAAUUACCACUAUCGUUCAUGGGUUAGGCAUUAGAGACAACCGCACUCACUUUAAUAGGGCACCACCUAAUUCCGUUGAGACGACACCAUUUGAACUAUGGUUUGGAGAAACCUAAGUUGUCGUUUCUUGAAAGUUUGGGGCAGCGACGCUUAUGUGAAAAAGUUUCAGGUUGAUAAGCUCGAACCCAAAGCGGAUAAAAUGCAUCUUCAUAGGACACCCAAAACAGUUGGGUAUACCUCCUAUUUCAGAUCCGGAAGCAAAAGGAUUGUUCCUUGAAUCGGGUCCUUUCUCGAGGAAAAGUUUCUCUUGAAAGAAUUGAGUGGGAGGAUGGUGGAGACUUGAUGAGGUUGUUGAACCAUCACUUCAACUAGUGUGUAGCAGGGCACAGGAAGUUGUUCCUGUGGCACCUACACCAAUUGAAGUGGAAGCUGAUGAUAGUGAUCGUAAUGCUUCGGAUCAAGUCACUGCCAAACCUCGUAGGAUGACAAGGACAGGUACUGCUUCAGAGUGGCACGGUAAUCCUGUCUUGGAGGUCAUGUUGCUAGACAACAAUGAACCUACGAGCUAUGGAGAAGCGAUGGUGGGCCCGGAUACUGACAAAUGGCUUGAGGCCAUAAAAUCCGAGAGAGGAUCCAUGACUUUGGAAGAAAUACUUGAUGGUCGUAAGGCCAUUGGGUACAGAUGGAUUUUAAAAGGAAGACGGACAAUGAUGGUAAGUAUCGCCAUUAAGAAAGCUCGACUUGUCGUUAAGAUGUUUUCCAACAAGUUCAAGGAGUUGACUACGAUGAGACUUUCUCACUCGUAGCGAUGCAAAGAGUCUAUUGGAAUUAUAUUAGCAAUUACUGCAUGAUUUAUGAAAUCUUGCAGAUAGGAUGUCAAAACAUUGUUUCCUCGAUGAUAUCCAUGAGGAAAGGUUGUAUGUGAUACAACCAGAAGGUUUUGUCAAUCCUGAAGAACGCUAACAAAUAUGCAAAGCUCCAGCAAUCCUUCUAAGGACUGGAGUAAGCAUCUCGGAGUUGGAAUGUACGCUUUGAUGAGAUGAUCAAAUAUUUUGGGUUUAUACAAAGUUUAUGAGAAACUUGUAUUUCCAAAGAAGUGAGUGGGAGCACUAUAGAAUUUCUGAUGAGUAUAUGUUGUUGACAUAUUGUUAAUCAGAAAUGAUGUAGAAUUUCUGGAAAGCAUACAGGGUUAUUUGAAAAGUGUUUUUCAAUAGAAAACCCGGAAUAAGCUGCUUGAACAUUGAGCAUCAAGAUCUAUGAGGAUAGAUCAAAAGCGCUAAAUGGUACUUUCAAAUGAGCACAUACCUUGACAUGAUCUUGAAGGUGUUCAAGAUGGAUCAGUCAAAGAAGGAGUUCUUGCCUGAGUUGUAAGGUAUGAAGUUAAGAGUUAAAGCUCGACCACGGCAGAAGAGAGAGAAAGGACGAAGGUCGUCCCCUAUGCUUCAGACGUAGGCUCUAUAGUAUGCUAUGCUGUGUACCGCACCGGAAGUGUGCCUUGCCAUGAGUCAGUCAAGGGGUACAAGAAUGAUCCAGGAAUGGAUCAUUGGACAGCGGUCAAAAUUGUCCUUGGAGUAAAUAAAGGACAUGUUUCUCGAUUAUGGAGGUGAUAAAGAGUUCAACGUAAAGGGUUACGUCAAUGCAAGAUUUAACACCUGUCUGAAUGACUCUGAGUAGCAAACCGGAUACGUAUAGCGGAGCAACCAUUUGGAAUAGCUCCAGGUGGAGCGUGGAAGCAGCAUUUACAAUAUGACAUAGAGAAUUGCGAAAUACAUACGGAUCUGAAUGUUGCAGACCCGUUGACUAAAACCUCUCUCACAAGAAAAACAUGAUCAAACCCCAGAACUCAUUGAGUCUUAAUCACAUGUUGAUGUGAACUAGUUUAGUAACACUAGUAAACUCUUUGGAUGUUGGUCACAUGGUGAUGUGACCUGUCAAUGUUAAUCACAUGGCGAUGUGAACUAGAUUAUUGACUCUAGUGCAAGUGGGAGACUGUUGGAAAUAUGCUCUAGAGGCAAUAAUAAAUUAGUUAUUAUUAUUAUAUUUCCUUGUUCAUGAUAAUCGUUUAUUAUCCAUGCUAUAAUUGUAUUGAUAGGAAACUCAGAUACAUGUGUGGGUACAUAGACAACACCAAGUCCCUAGUAAGCCUCUAGAUGACUAGCUCGUUGAUCAAUAGAUGGUUACGGUUUCCUGACCAUGGACAUUGGAUGUCGUUGAUAACGGGAUCACAUCAUUAGGAGAAUGAUGUGAUGGACAAGACCCAAUCCUAAGCCUAGCACAAAGAUCGUGUAGUUCGUAUGCUAAAGCUUUUUUAAUGUCAAGUAUCAUUUCCUUAGACCAUGAGAUUGUGCAACUCCCGGAUAUCGUAGGAAUGCUUUGGGUGUACCAAACGUCACAAUGUAACUGGGUGGCUAUAAAGGUGCACUACAGGUAUCUCCGAAAGUGUCUGUUGGGUUGGCACGAAUCGAGACUGGGAUUUGUCACUCCGGUUGAUGGAAAGGUAUCUCUGGGCCCACUCGGUAGGACAUCAUCAUAAUGUGCACAAUGUGCCCAAGGGGUUGAUCACGGGAUGAUGUGUUACGGAACGAGUAAAGAGACUUGCCGGUAACGAGGUUGAACAAGGUAUCGGCAUACCGACAAUCGAAUCUCGGGCAAGUACAAUACCGCUAGACAAAGGGAAUUGUAUGCGGGAUUGCUUAAAUCCUUGACAUCGUGGUUCAUCCGAUGAGAUCAUCAUGGAAAAUGUGGGAGCCAACAUGGGUAUCCAGAUCCCGCUGUUGGUUAUUGGCCAGAGAGCUGUCUCGGUCAUGUCUGCAUGAUUCCCGAACCCGUAGGGUCUACACACUUAAGGUUCAGUGACGCUAGAGUUGUUAUGGGAAUUUGUGUGUAGUUACCGAAUGUUGUUUGGAGUCCUGGAUGAGAUCCCGGACGUCACGAGGAGUUCCGGAAUGGUCCGGAGGUAAAGAUUUAUAUAUGGGAAGUCCUAUUUUGGCCACCGGAAAAUGUUCGGGAUUUUUCGGUAUUGUACCGGGAAGGUUCUAGAAGGUUCCGGAGUGGGGCCCACCAGCAUGGGGGAACCCACAUAAACGUGGGUAGUUGGGGCAAGGCCCCACACCCUUGGUCAAGGCGCACCAAGAUCCCCCCUUAGAAGGAAUAAGAUCAUAUCCCGAAGGGAUAAGAUCAAGAUCCCUAAAAAGGGGGGGGGUAACAAUCGGUGGGGAAGGAAAUGAUGGGAUUUCUUUCCUCCCACCUUUGCCAACGCCCCAAUUGACUUGGAGGGCAAGAAACCAGCCCCUUCCACCCCUAUAUAUAGUGGGGAGGCGCAUGGGAGCUUCAUGCUUGCCCCUGGCGCAGCCCUCUCCCACCCCUAGUAGUAGUGCUUGGCGAAGCCCUGCCGGAGAACUGCAAGCUCCACCACCACGCCGUCGUGCUGCCGGAGCUCUCCCUCAACUUAUCCUCUCCCCUUGCUGGAUAAAGAAGGAGGAGACGUCCCCGGGUUGUACGUGUGUUGAACGCGGAGGUGCCGUCCGUUUGGCACUAGGAUCUCCGGUGAUUUGGAUCACGAUGAGUACGACUCCUUCAACCCCAUUCUCUUGAACGCUUCCGCUUAGCGAUCUACAAGGGUAUGUAGAUGCACUCCCCUCUCUCUCUCUCGUUGCUAGUUUCUCCAUAGAUAGAUCUUGGUGACUCAUAGGAAAUUUUUUGAAUUUCUGCUACGUUCCCCAACAGAAUUAUCCUAGGCAAUUGUUAACAAAACCGGUGAUCACUAUUGCAAUUUCAUAUGAGGGAGAGGCAAAAGCUAACAUACUUUCUCUACUUGGAUAAUAUGCACUUAUGAUUGGAACUCUAGCAAGCGUCCGCAAAUACUAAAGAUCAUUAAGGUAUAACCCAACCAUAGCAUUAACGCAUCAAGUCCUCUUUAUUCCCAUACGCAACAACCCCUCUUACUCGGGUUCGUGUUUCCGUCACUCACCAACCCACUAUAAGCGAAUCAUGAACGUAUUGCAACACCCUACAGCAGGAAUUCCUCACGCUUGCGCGACACGGAGGGCACCACAGGACAGCAUCAAAGUGAAACAUACAACUCAUACCAAUCUAGAUUAUCAAUCAACCCAAAGACCAAAGAUAUCUACUCAAAACAUCAUAGGAUGGCAACACAUCAUUGGAUCAUAAUAUGUAGCAUAAAGCACCAUGUUCAAGUAGGGAUUACAACGGGGUGCAGGAGAGUGGACCGCGUAAAAGAGGUGAUGAUGGUGAUGAUGAUGGUGAUGUUGAUGAAGACCAUCACCGCGGCGAUGAUUCCCCUCCCGAUGGCACUCUGGUGCCACCAAGAGAGAGGAGGAGAGGUUCUCCCCCUUGUGCUUCCUCCUCCAUGGAUUUCCCCCUCUGGUCCUUGGCCUUCAUGGAGAUGAUGGCCUCUCCGAGAUCCUCCUUCAUGGCCUCCGGUGAUGAUGGCCCCCUCCGGCAGGGUGCCAGAGAGGGCCUAGAUUGAUUUCUCGUGGCUACAGAGGCUUGCGGCGGCGGAACUUCUGAUCUAGGUUAAUUCCCUAAAGUUUCAGUAUUUAUAGGAAUUAUUGGUGUUGGUUUGACGUCAGGGGGGUCUCCGGGUCGUCCAUGAGACAGGGGGGCACGCCCCCCUAGGGGCGCGCCCUCCUAUCUCGUGGGUAGCCCGGAGCUCUUCUGGCCCAACUCCGAUGCUCCGUGGUCUUCUUUUGGUCCAUAAAAAAUCCUCAAAAAUUGGCACGUCAUUUGGACUCAGUUUGGUAUCCCUUUUCUGUAAAACACAAAAACAAGGAGAAAACAGAAACCGGCACUGGGCUCUAGGUCAAUAGGUUAGUCCCGAAAAUUAUAUAAGAUGAUAUAUAAAUGCAUAUAAAACACCAUAGAUGGGUAAUAUAAUAGCAUGAAUACUUUAUAAAUUAUAGAUACGUUGGAGACGUAUCAUACGUCUCGAACGUAUCUAUAAUUUUUGAUUUUUCCAUGCUACUAUAUUACCUGUUUUGGAUGUUUAUGGGCUUUACUUUACACAUUUAUAUCAUUUUUGGGACUAACCUACUAACCGGAGGCCCAGCCCGUAUUGUUUUCUUUUUCCUAUUUCAGUAUUUCGAAGAAAAGGAAUACGAAACGGAGUCCAAACAGAAUGAAACCUUCGGGAGCGUGAUUUUUGGAACGAACAUGAUUCAGAGGACUUGGAGUGCAAGUCAAGAAGCAGCCGAGGAGGCCACGAGGGUGGAGGGUGCCCCCCCCCCUACUAGACGUGCCCCCUAUCUCGUGGGCCCCUCGGGCGGCCACCGACCUACUUCUUCCUCCUUUAUAUACUCACUUACCCCGAGAACAUCAGAACAAGCCACGAAAAACUAUUUCCACCACCGUAACCUUCUGUAUCCGCGAGAUCCCAUCUUGGAGCCUUAGACGACACUCCACCGGAGGGGGAAUCGACCAUGGAGGGCUUCCGCAUCAACACCAUAGCCCCUCCGAUGAGUUGUGAGUAGUUUACCACAGACCUUCGGGUCCAUAGUUAUUAGCUAGAUGGCUUCUUCUCUCUCUUUGGAUCUCAAUACCAUGUUCUCCUUGAUCUUCUUGGAGAUCUAUUUGAUGUAACUCUUUUUGCGGUGUGUUUGUCGAGAUCCGAUGAAUUGUGGGUUUAUGAUCAAGUUUAUCUAUGAGAAAUAUUUGAAUCUCCUCUGAAUUCUUUUAUGUGUGAUUGAGUUAUCUUUCCAAGUCUCUUCGAAUUAUCAAUUUGGUUUGGCCUACUAGAUUGAUCUUUCUUGCAAUGGGAUAAGUGCUUAGCUUUGGGUUCAAUCUUGCGGUGUCCUUUCCCAGUGACAGCAGGGGCAGCAAGGCACGUAUUGUAUUGUUGCCAUUGAGGGUAAAAAGAUGGGAUUUAUAUCAUAUUGCAUGAGUUUAUCCCUCUACAUCAUGUCAUCUUUCUUAAUGUGUUACUCUGUUCUUUAUGAACUUAAUACUCUAGAUGCAUGCUGGAUAGCGGUCGAUGUGUGGAGUAAUAGUAGUAGAUGCAGGCAGGAGUCGGUCUACUUGUCACGAACGUGAUGCCUAUAUACAUGAUCAUGCCUAGAUAAUCUCAUAAUUAUUCACUUUUCUAUCAAUUGCUCGACAGUAAUUUGUUCACCCACCGUAAUACUUAUGCUAUCUUGAGAGAAGCCAGUAGUGAAACCUAUGGCCCUCGGGUCUAUCUUUUAUCACAUAAGCUUUCAAUCUACUUUUAUUUGCAUCUUUACUUUUCCUAUCUAUAUUACAAAAUACCAAAAAUAUAUUUAUCUUAUCAUAUUAUCUCUAACAGAUCUCACUUUUUCAAGUGGCCGUGAAGGGAUUGACAACCCCUUUAUUUCGUUGAUAGCGAGUUCUUGUUUGUUUGUGUAGGUGCGUGGGACUUUUGAGGAGCCUCCUACUGGAUUGAUACCUUGGUUCUCAAAAAUUGAGGGAAAUAUUUAUGCUACUAUUGCUGCAUCACCCUUUCCUCUUCAAGGAAAACCAGCGCAAGCUCAAGACGUAGAAAGAAGGAUUUCUGGUGCCGUUGCCGGGGAGGUCUUCGCUCAAGUCAAGACAUACCAAGUACCCAUCACAAUCUCAUCUCCCUCACAUUUACAUUAUUUGCCAUUUGCCUCUCGUUUUCCUCUCCCCCACUUCACCCUUGCCAUUUUAUUCGCCCUCUCUUUCCCAAUCUCCUCUCUCUUUUGCUUGUCCUUUUGUGUGCUCGUCGUUAUGGCUAGCUUGGUCUUUAUCCCUUCGUCUCCCGACUUUUUUUUAACAGACCAGCUGCUGGCUGGCAUAUAUUGAAAUCAUAGCAGGAAGCAGGUGGGAAAAACAUUUAAGGUGGUGUUUGAUCUAGCGAUCAAGGAGAAAAAAAAAGAGCUGAAAAGGGAGACACAAAAAACAAGUAGCCCUUGGCUACGCUGGUAGAUAAAAAACUCUCAGGGGGGUCCCAGAACGGGUGCUCCAGGUGCGUCGCUCUAGCUUGGCGCCAUAGCUCGACGGUUCUUGUGAUGCUCGCUAGUGUUUCUGUAUGAUUUGCUAUCUUAUGUCUGAAAGUGCAUUCGUUGCACUGCUGCCAAAUGCUUCCAAGUAGCAGAAUGAUCAUUGUCUUGAUGCCCUUUUUUUGAUCAUGCGCGGCUUCGCUGAUCAUUUUUUCGAUGAUCUCCAGGGCCUUGUUCUUGUGCUGCCAAACUGUGGGGUGCAGGGAGGUGCAUCCGCGGCGUUGAGCAGUUUUUUCCCAGAUUGCUAAUGAGAAGGGGCACUGCCAAAACAAGUGGUGUGAGGUUUCCAAGUUUCUGAGGCAGAAUUGGCAGAAAUAUUCAUUUGGCCAUCCUCUUCUCUGCAGCCGGUCGUUACUCCAAAGCCUGUUUUUGAGGAGUAGCCAGACCGUAAACUUGAGCCGUGCCAGUGCCCAUGCUUGCCAAGGCAUCUUUCUGAAGCUGGUCGUGAUCAUUCCUUGGAAUUGGCAGUUGUAUGUCGAACUAGUGGAGAAAGACCCCGAGGCCAUGUGCUUCCACUGAAUGGUGUCUCGCAGCUGCUCAUUUAGAUUCAGGUUUCUCGAGAUUAGCCAUCUGUUCAGUCGGAUCACUUCUGGCCAUAGAUGUUGUGUGUUUCCAUGGGCAAGGGCAUGGAUCCAAUUGUCAUUGAGGAUUGCUGCAUGUACUGUCCUAUUCUUUCUCCUUGAGUGUUUGUGGAGGUCGGGGAGUUCCAAUUUUAGUGCUCCAGCACCUAUCCAGGAGCUGUCCCAGAAGCUCGCCGUCUUCCCAUCUCCCAGUGCCACCGUUGUUGAAGCACUGAAAAGGUCUUUGUCUCCUUGGUCACAUGGUAGCUGCAUCCCAACCCAGGGUUUGUUGGGUGUGAUCCAAGAGAACUAGAGCCACCUAAGCCUGAGUGCACGGCUGAAUCGAUGCAGGUUUGAGAUGCCGAGGCCACCCUUGUCGAUCGGAGUGCACACCACUGGCCAGCUUACUUUGCACUUCCCGCCACUGAUCUCUUCAUCUUGAGCCCACAGGAAACGUCGUAUGAUCUUGUCCACUUCGGCCAGAAUCUUCUUUGGCACCUUCAGAACGGUCAGGGCGAAGGUUGGUAGUGCACUUAACACACUUCUGACAAGAACUCUCCUCCCUGCAAUUGACAAGAGACAUCCUUUCCAGCCUGCCAGCCGAGCUCUGACUCUAUCUAGAAUGAACUGCAGGUGCACAAUCCGUAGCCUGGAGAUGGUGAUUGGAAGCCCAAGGUAGCGCAGGGGGAAGUGAUCUUGCUGUCCUCCAAAGUUCUGAAGCACCUGCUGCAGGUCAAUGUGGUCACAUCUUACGGCAGUGACAGAAGAUUUCAGCAUGUUUACUUUAAGUCCUGAAGCAUGCCUGAAGUUGUGGAUGAUGUUCAUGAGCGUAUCGAUCUCCUCUUUCACUGGGUUGGCAAAGAUGAUGGCUUCGUCCGCAUAUAGGCUCACCCGCAGCGACAGAUCCCUGCGUGGAAGCGAGUCAAGCUCGCCAAGUUCCAUGGCGCGUUGGAGGAGUCGGUGCAACAGGUCUAUGGCAAUGAUGAAAAGGAGUGGUGACAGCGGGUCACCUUGUCUAAGCCCUCUACAGUGCAAAAUUUUCUUGCCCUCCGCGCCGUUAAGCAAGAAGGAGGAGGUCGAUGUUGAUAGAAGCAUAGUGAUCCAGUCGGGCCAUCUAGCUGAGAAGCCUAGGGCUUGGAGAAGUUCGAGUAGGUAUUCCCAGGAGACAUUAACAAAAGCUUUUGCGAUGUCUAGUUUGAUAAGCAGUGCUGGUGUCUUCUUCCUAUCUAGCGCUCGAACUGCGCUUUGGACAUAGAGGAAGCUGUGGUGCGUGCUCUUCUUUGCCAGGAAGGCAGAUUGUGCCGGCGAGAUGAUGGAGUCGAUGACGUUGGAGAGGUGCAUGGAGAGGACCUUGGUGAUCAGCUUAGCUAUGGAGUGGACUAGACUAAUGGGCCUGAAAUCUGAAACUGCUGUUGCACCGUCCUUCUUUGGGAUCAAAACCACCAGGGCGGAGUUGAGCGCGGCAAGAUCGUCGCCGGCUAUACAGUAGAACUGGUGGAAAGCCCUCAUGAUGUCGUGCUUGAUGAUUUGCCAACAGCUACGGAAGAAGACUCCAAUGAAUUCGUCCGGUACCGGAGCCUUUUCCGUCGGCGAGGCCUUGAUCGCUUCCCAAACCUCGUCCUCUCUGAAAGGGUUAUCUAGGCCACCUCCUCUGAUUGUGGGCAGUUGAAGUUGGCUCCAGUUGAUGGUUGUUGGUCGAGUCCCUUUGGAGCCUAGGAUGGAUUUGAAGUGUUCGAAGAUGGCUGCUUCCUUGUCUUCGUGCGACGUGGUGACCCCGUCGUUCGUCAGUAGGUUGUGGAUGUAGUUCUUCCUUCGGCGUGAAUGGAACUUUGCAUGGAAAAUUUUGGUUCCCACGUCGCCCAGCCUGAGCCAAGUCAGUCGAGAGGCCUGACGCUUGCGCGCUCUCUCGAUCGCGGCAAGGCCAAGCAGUCUCUAUUUGAGUAGUCGUCGUAGGUUGAAUUCCGGUGUGGAGAGGUUGCGGGAUUCCUGGGCUAUGUCUAGGUGCAGGAUGAUCUCUAUUGCUAUGUGGAACUGUAUCUUAGCAUCGUUGAAAAGGGAGGAGCUCCAGAUCUUCAGGUCUUUUGCAGUGCGCGCCAUCUUGAUGGACAGCCGCUUGAAGGCACAUGAGCUAUGUACUAGCCUGCUCCAGGCAUGGUCGACCGUGUCGAGGAAGUGCGGGAACUGCAGCUAGAAGCUUUCAAAUUUGAACUUGGCGCGACGGCGAGGAGCCGCUGCAUCCGCGAGGAGCAGAGGGCAGUAGUCCGAGCACGCGGUGGACGCUGCCAUCAGUGUGCUUGUGGGUAAAAGAUCUUCCCAGCUGUUGUUGCAGAAGAACUUGUCGAUGCUGACGAGCGUCGGGUUCUCAUGCUCGUUACUCCAGGUGAAACGAUGAUUUUUGCACUUGAUCUCUUUGAGGCCAGUGACGUCAAUGGCCCGCCUGAACAUGCCCAUGACCCUGCGGUUGAGCUGAUGGUUGUUUUUGUCUCUCGCCUCAUAGAUGAGAUUAAAAUCUCCGUUGAUGAGCCAUGGUUCAGGUGUCGGGGGAGCAGUUCUAGCUAGCUUGUCGAGGAAGGCUGCUUUUCUAGCGUCGUCCACUGGGCCGUAAACUGUGGAAAGCCAGAAGCUUUUGGAUUGCCAGAGAAGCAUCACCUUGGCAGUGAUCGCGAAUUCACCUAUGGCGUGGGAAGCGAUGCUAACUAAUUCGGUGUUCCAGAAGAUCGCCGCUCCGCCGCAGGAGCCGAUCGCAGGGAGGACAACGCAAUCAGUCAGGGCGGCGCCACCAAUUUCCCUGACGAUGGUAGGUGUCCAUACAUCUAUCUUGGUUUCCUGCAGGCAUAGGAUUGCUGCUUUGUGCACUGCGACUACCUCGCAGAUCGCCGCCCGUUUCGCCGGCUGGUUUAGGCCGCGGACAUUCCACGACAUUAUUGGGCAGAAGCUUUCAUUCAUAUGGAAACGGUAGUUGCUCCGGUGACUGAAAGAUUCUAAAAGGCCUCAGGCCCAGUAUAGACACCACCAAACUAGCAGGGGCACGCCGGCAUCCACCAAUAGCGCCCAAACCACGUCGGCGAGAAGCAGAACACGCUACUAAAACAGAGGAAAGGAAACCUAGCUCUACCCGGCGUAAUGUCGUCCGCCACCGGAGACUAAUACUUAGUUGUGCUAACAUGGCUACACAGAGGCCGCAGCGGCUGCUCCCUCAGGCCCUGCAAGGCUUGCAGCAACGAGCAGGGAGUCCUUGUCGAGGCGUGUCAGCUUGGUGAUGACGGCGAUGUCAUUGUCAGUGAGUGGCUCGUCGAAGCGACGGAUGAGGGCGUCUGCUACCUCCUUGGUCAUCUUCUCCUUGGGCCCGAGCAGCCCGAGCUUCUUUACUAUGCGUAGGGAGGCCGCUGUGAGACCGGCGUCUUGGAGGUGUUGGCGGCCUGGCGCACGCUGUGCCUGGUAGGGGCCACAGGCAUGCGCGCCUUGGGUGGUGCGGAUGGGCGGCGCAGAGGGGCGUUGGCGAUGAUCGGCGCAGGGGCUUCGGUGAACAGACGGCAUGGGGCUGGGGGAGGGGGCGAUUUCUUCAUCGUUGGUGGUGAUCUCGAGCUGGCAUACGCGAGUGGUGACCAUGCCGAGCUGCAUCUCUAGCGUAUGAGCGGGCAUGGGGGCGCACCUGUUGAACUGUUCGGUGGCCUGGGGGAGUGGCGAGCGUGGGGGAGAACGUGUCCAACUGCGCCUCCAUCUCAGUGUCUGCCUUCUGCUUGCCGUUGUCGAAGUCGAGUGGAGCGGCAACCACCGCAUCAGCAGCGGCCUGGACGUCCGCCGCCGAGUUGUCGAUGAUCACCGAUGCUAGGAUGGGCCGCUUUGCUUGCCUAAAGAAGUCGUCGACCGGAUCUUUUUCCUUUGCUGUUGCCGCAGUCCCCUUCUGCCGCAGCCGAGCCCGACGCCCUCCGUGGCGAGCGAGGGGCGGAGGGCCAUCGGUGGUGUUGAUGCGCUUCUCCAGCAAACGGCCUCCUGCCGCCCGUGCGGCGGCUGUGUGUGCUCUUGUUGUGGCGCCUGGCUGGGGGGGAGCGGCUGCGAUGAUGCAGAGCAGGUGACGGCGCCGGCUGGGUCGGUGCACGCCCCCGACGCAGUAGGGAGUCCUUCCAGGAUCUGCGAUGAGCACCGCCAGCUCCGCCAGCGUCGUCGUGGUCGUGCCCACCGCGAGGAAUGCCGCGGCAGCCCAGGUCGGCCACCGGGGCGCACCCAAGGCGAUGGAGGCGAUCACCCCUCUGCCCGUCUUCGACCUCCAUGGUCCAAGUGGCAGGGAUCACGGUGAAGCGGGGCCGGUCGUUAGUGUCGGAGUCGGACGACGGCAGCCUGCUUUGGGCAGAGUGCGAAGAGCGUGGCGAGGCGGGGUCCAGUCCUCGACCCUGUCGACGUGGACGAGCAUGGUGUAGUCCGUGGUGCCCAGCGGUGGAGCAACGCGCCAGUCUGGCGGCGAAUAGCCCUGCAUCUCCUCGACGCGUCCCGCACCACGCGGCAGGACCCCGAGCGUGUGCUUGGUGGGGAUGUGGGCAACGUCGCUCGUCCAGACCCAGCAGGCAAUAGUCUUCAUGUGCCUGCGCUCCUGCAUCCUGCUGUCGAGGCGGUCAACGCGCACCUUCUUCCCGAGGAUUUCCUCGAUCCCUUCCAAGGACCAGUACUGCAUAGGGACUUUCUCGAUGAUGACUCUGACAUGAAGCUGGAGCGUGUCGAAGGCGGCGUGGUCAUGCUCAUGCCACGAUGCGAUGUUGAAGACGUCGCCAUCGACCCUGAUUGAGCCACGAUGUACGGAUUGACAUGGUGCGUGGGCUGGCUGAAGAUGACGAGGUAGUGCUCCGGGUGGUGGGACGUGACGCGCAGCUGGCUCACCGGGACGGCGAGCUGCGCCUCCAGCGCGUGGCCCACCGCCAUAGGGGACGUGGCAUUGACGCCGUCCGCCGCAGUCAUGGUGACGGCGUGGUUGCGCAGGAAGAAGAUGGCCUGCUCCGUCGCUGGGGAAUACAUGGUCAGCGAGUAGCUCUCUCUAGGGCAGCGGGAGGAGUCGACGUGGCGCUGCAUGGCCGGAGUGGUGGUGGGCAUGGUGGAUACAACCGGCGGCGGGAAGCAGAGGCGCGAGUGGAUUGGCACUGGAGGGGCGGCUUGUCUAAGCCUGGAGCGCUGGAUUUGUGGGCACUGCUUUUCUAUGUGGCCGAGCAGCUCGCAGAGGAUGCAGUGGAUGGGAUCACGGCAGUCGGCGUGGCGAUGCUUCUUGCUGAGGCAGCGGAAGCAGCGGUCGCGGAACCGGCUUAAGAAAGCCGCACGGGCGGCGUCCGCAUUGAAGCCGCAGCGCUGGUCCGGCCGCUGCACCCCAAGGCGCUCCCUGUCGCCCAGCGGGCCGGAGGCAGGGCGCUUCUUCUUCUGGUGGCUGACCUCGGUCCACCCACCAUCCAUCCCUGAAACGGAAAUCUGGGCAGCUGGGGGGGAUGGGGCGACGAUGAUGGAUUUAAGUCGCUGCAUAGGGGGUGGCAGUAGCCCGACCUCGCUUGAAGGCGCCACGGCCAGUGGCAGCGAGGAUUGCGGUUGGAUCUGCGGUCGGUCGGCCGGAUCUGGAGAAGCUUCGAGCUGCGUUUCCAGCACCUGGGACGGACCAGGGAAAACAGGCGUAUCCCACGCUGGUGGAUCCGGUCCGGAGCUUGCACUCGCAGCUGGCGAUGGCGGGGGGGACGUCGCCAUUAAGGCUGGUGGGUGGCCGCCGCGGCCGGAGCGGCCAGCGGCGCGGGGGGAGAGAGGCGCGGGGGGUCUCCCGACUUUGAAGUUCUUCACUUCAAGCAAAGACAAGGAGAAAAUUUAAAAGAUGCUUGGUUUAGGAUGCUAGAAUCUUAUCGUAGUUGCACUAUAGAAGGGGAUUUCAAGAUUUUAAUUUGCAAUUUUUAUGUUGGGUUAACCUUACCCCAUAAACAACUCCUUGAUUUUGCCGCAAAAGAGGUUUUUAUUGAACUUGAUCCUAGUUCCACUUAUGAAAUUAUAGAGGGGAUAGUAGGAGUACUCCCCCUACAAAAAGGAUCACCCUUCUCUCAUGAAGGAACCCAAAUUUUGGAGAAAUUAUGUGAAUUGCAAAAAUUUGUUGAACCACUUAAGAAUAUUGGUGGGAAUGUCAACCGCAUGAAUAAUUUGAUUACACUUUGCAAUAAGCGGUUGGAUGCCAUAGAUCAAAAGAUCUCCGAGCAUGAAGGGAAACGCAAGGAGCCUCCCGGACCUGAGCAUAAUCCAUUAAAAAGAUAAAUGCCAAAGAUGGCACUACUUAGAUCUAUCCUCGCUUUUAUGCUUAUCUAGGGGCGUUAAACGAUAGCGCUAGUCGGGAGGCAACCCAAUUUUAUUUCUGUUUUUUUUUGUUUCUGUUUAGUAAUAAAUUUUUCAUCUACCUUCUGUUUAUAUGUGUUGUUAUGUUUUAUUUAGUGCUUUUGCCAAGUAGAACCUAUAGGAUAACCUAUCGUGAUAGUUAAUUUGAUUUUGCUGAAAAAUAGAAACUUUGCACGCACGAAAUUAGUUUUGUUAAUUCACGGAAACGUGAUUUUGCGUUGAUUCAUUUUGAUGUACAUCAAUAGACAAAUUUCCCAGGACUUCCUAUUUUGGUAGGAUUUUUAGAGUUCCAGAAGUAUUCGAGAGUUACAGAUUGCUACAGACUGUUCUGUUUUUGACAGAUUCUGCCUUUCGUGUGUUGUUUGCUUAUUUUGAUGCAUCUAUGGCUAGUAUUAAGUGGUAUGAACCAUAGAGAACUUCAAAUACAGUAGGUUUAACACCAAUAUAAAUAAAGAAUGAGUUCAUUACAGUACCUUAUGUGGUGGUUUUUCUUUCUUUCACUAACGGAGCUUAUGAGAUUUCCUGUUGAGUUUUGUGUUGUGAAGUUUUCAAGUUUUGGGUAAAGAUUUGAUGGACUGUGGAAUAAGGAGUGGAAAAAGCCUAAGCUUGGGGAUGCCCAUGGAACCUCAAGAUAUUCAAGAAUAGCCAAAAUCCUAAGCUUGGGGAUGCCCCUAGAAGGCAUCCCCUCUUUCGUCUUCGUUUAUCGGCAACUUUACUUGGAGCUAUAUUUUAUUCGCCACAUGAUAUGUGUUUUGCUUGGAGCGUCUUGUAUUAUAUUAGUAUUUGCUUUUUAGUUUACCACAAUGAUCCUUUCUGUACACACCUUUUGGGAGAAGCCCACUUGAUUAGAAUUUAUUAGAAUACUCAAUGUGCUUCACUUAUAUCUUUUGAGCUAGAUAGGUUUUGCUCUAGUGCUUCACUUAUAUCUUUUAGAGCACGGCGGUGGCUUAAUUUUGAAGAAAUUGUUGAUCUUUCAUGCUUCACUUAUAUUAUUUUGUGAGUCUUUUAGAACAGCAUGGUAUUUGCUAUGGUUAUGAAUUUGGUCCUAGAAUGAUGAGCAUCCAAGUUGGGUAUAAUAAAAACCAUCAUAGAAAGUGCAUUAAACACUAGGAUCAAUUUGAUGCUUGAUAAUUGUUUUGAGAUAUACAGGUGGUAAUAUUUGAGUCAUGCUAGUGGAUAAUUAUGAAAUUAAGAAAUACUUGUGUUGAAGUUGGCAAGUCCCGUAGCAUGCACGUAUGGUAAAAGUUGUGCGACAAAUUUGUUGCAUGAGGUGCUCUUUUAAUUAUCUUCCUUACGAGUGGAGGUCGGGAUCGCGCGAUGGUUAACUCCUACCAACCCUUCCCCUAGGAUCAUGCGUAGUAGUACAUUGCUUCGAGGGCAAGUAGACUUUUGCAAUAAGUAUAUGGGUUCUUUAUGACUAAUGUGAGUCCAUGGAUAUACGCACACUCACCCUUCCACUUUGCUAGCCUCUAUUGUGCCGCGCAACUUUCGCCGGUAUCAUGCACCCAUUAUUUACCUUCCUCAAAAUAGCCACCAUACCUACCUAUUAUGGCAUUUCCAUAGCCAUUCCGAGAUAUAUUGCCAUGCAACUUUCACCGUUCCGUUAUUAUGACACGCUUCAUCAUUGUCAUAUUGCUCUUUGCAUGAUCAUGUAGUUAACAUUGUAUUUGUGGCAAGGCCACCCUCAUAAUUUUCAUACAUGUCACUCUUGAUUCAUUGCAUAUCCCAGUACACCGCCGGAGGCAUUCAUAUAGAGUCAUAUUUUGUUCUAAGUGUUGAGUUGUAAUUCUCGAGUUGUAAAUUAAUAAAAGUGUGAUGAUCUUCAUUAUUAGAGCAUUGUCCCAAGUGAGGAAAGGAUGAUGAAGACUAUGAUUCCCCGACAAGUUGGGCUGAGACUUCGGGCUUUAAAAAAAGAGGCCAAAGAGCCCACCAAAUAAAAAAAUGAGAGAAAAGAGAGAAGGGACAAUGCUACUAUCUCUUUUCCACACUUGUGCUUCAAAGUAGCACCGUGAUCUUCAUGAUAGAGAGUCUCCUAUGUUGUCACUUUCAUAUACUAGUGGGAAUUUUUCAUUAUAGAACUUGGCUUGUAUAUUCCAAUGAUGGGCUUCCCCAAAAUUCCCUAGGUCUUCGUGAGCAAGCAAGUUGGAUGCACACCCAGUUAGUUUCUUUUGUUGAGCUUUGCAUGGCAAUCCCUACUCACUCACAUUGAUAUCUAUUGAUGGGCAUCUCCAUAGCCCGUUGAUAUGCCUAGUUGAUGUGAGACUAUCUUCUCCCUUUUUUGUCUUAUCCACAACCACCAUUCUAUUCCACAUAUAGUGCUAUGUCCAUGGCUCACGCUCAUGUAUUGCGUGAAAGUUGAAAAAGUUUGAGAAUACUAAAGUAUGAAACAAUUGCUUGGCUAGUCAUCAGGGUUGUGCAUGAUUAAAUACUUUGUGUGAUGAAGAUAGAGCAUAGCCAGACUAUAUGAUUUUUUCGGGAUAGCUUUCUUUAGCCAUGCUAUUUUGAGAAGACAUGAUUGCUUUAUUAGUAUGCUGGAAGUAUUAUUGUUUUUAUGUCAAUAUGAACUUUUAUUUUGAAUCAUUUGGACCUGAAUAUUCAUGCCACAAUAAAGAAAAUUACAUUGAGAAUUAUGCUAGGUAGCAUUCCACAUCAAAAAUUCUGUUUUUAUCAUUUUCCUACUCGAGGACGAGCAGGAAUUAAGCUUGGGGAUGCUUGAUACGUCUCCAACGUAUCUAUAGUUUUUGAUUGUUCCAUGCAAUUUUACUACUUGUUUUGGAUGUUUAUGGGCUUUACUUUACACUUUUAUAUCAUUUUUGGGACUAACCUACUAACCGGAGGCCCAGCCCCGAAUUGAUGUUUUUUUGCCUAUUUCAGUGUUUUGAAGAAAAGGAAUAUCAAACAGAGUCCAAACGGGAUGAAACCUUCGGGAGCGAUCCUUUUGGAACAAUUGCAAACCAGGAUACUUGGAGUGGACGUCAAGAAGUCAAUGAGGCGGCCACGAGGGUGACCGGCGCGCCCUAUGGGGGUGGGCAUGCUCCCCACCCUCGUGGGCCCCUCAUGGCUCCACCGACCUUCUUCUUCCUCCUAUAUAUAUCCACGUACCCCGAGAACAUCCAGGAGCACCAUGAAAACCUAAUUCCACCGCCGCAACCUUCUAUAUCCGCGAGAUCCCAUCUUGGAGCCUUCGUCGGCGCUCCACCGGAGGGGGAAUCGACCAUGGAGGGCCUCUACAUCAUCUCCAAGGCCUCUCCGAUGAGUUGUGAGUAGUUUACCACAGACCUUCGGGUCCAUAGUUAUUAGCUAGAUGGCUUCUUCUCUCUCUUUGAAUCUCAAUACAAAGUUCUCCUCGAUCUUCUUGGAGAUCUAUUCGAUGUAACUCUUUUUGCGGUGUGUUUGUCGAGAUCUGAUGAAUUGUGGGUUUAUGAUCAAGUUUAUCUAUGAGAAAUAAUUGAAUCUUCUCUAAAUUCUUUUAUGUGUGAUUGGUUAUCUUUGCAAGUUUAUUGGAAUUAUAAGUUUGGUUUGGCCUACUAGAUUGAUCUUUCUUGCAAUGGGAGAAGUGCUUAGUUUUGGGUUCAAUCUUGCGGUUUCCUUUCCCAGUGACAGCAGGGGUAGCAAGGCACAUAUUGUAUUGUUGCCAUCGAGGAUAAAAAGAUGGGGUUUAUAUCAUAUUUCUUGAGUUUAUCCCUCUACAUCAUGUCAUCUUUCUUAAUGCGUUACUCUGUUCUUAUGAACUUUAUAAUCUAGAUGCACGCAGGAGUUGGUCGAUAUGUGGAGUAAUAGUAGUAGAUGCAGAAUCGUUUCGAUCUUCUUGUUGCGGACGUGAUGCCUAUAUACAUGAUCAUGCCUAGAUGAUGUCGUAACUAUGCACUUCUCUAUCACUUGCUCGACAGUAAUUUGUUCACCCACCGUAAUACUUAUGCUAUCUUGAGAGAAGCCACUAGUGAAACCUAUGGCCCCUGGUUCUAUCUUUUAUCAUAUAAGUUUCUGAUCUUCUUUUAUUUGCAAUCUUUUACUUUCCAAUUUAUAUCAUAAAAAUACCAAAAAUAUUCAUAUUAUCUUAUUAUCUCUAUCAGAUCUCACUUUUGCAAGUUUCGUGAAGGGAUUGACAACCCCUUUAUCGCGUUGGUUGCGAGGUUCUUGUUUGUUUGUGUAGGUGCGUGGGACUUUUGAGGAUCCUCCUACUGGAUUGAUACCUUGGUUCUCAAAAACUAAGGGAAAUACUUACGCUACUUUGUUACAUCACCCUUUCCUCUUCAAGGGAAAACCAACGCAGUGCUCAAGAGGUAGCAACGCACAAAAUGAGCAUGCUCAUCUAAAGAUUUUCCCUCAACUAAACUAGUUGGGGUUUCAGCACGAGCACAUAUAGAUUGAAGAUGAUCCAAUUAGAACACGUUAAGUGGAUCCGUAUUAAUAGAUUUUUAGCAAUCAAAGAUAAAAGCAAAAUAGAACGCACAUGGAAACACAAGCAAACAUAAGAUCGAACGAAAGAAGGGUGAAGAAAAGGCAAAUCUUUUCGAAAAUAGUUUUAGAAGUGGGGGAGAGGAAAACGAGAGGCAAAUGGCGAAUAAUGUAAUGCAAGAGAUGAGAGUUUAUGAUGGGUACUUGGUAUGCCUUGACUUGACGUAGAUCUCCCUAGCAACAACGCCAGAAAUUGGUAAGUUGAUGGGAGACAAAUAUUGACUUGACUUAGCGCAAAUCUCCCCGGCAACGGAGCCAGAAAUUCUUCCUGCUACUUCUUGAGCUUGCGUUGGUUUUCCCUUGAAGAGGAAAGGGUGAUGCAGCAAAGUAGAAAUAAGUAUUUCCCUCAGUUUGAGAACCAAGGUAUCAAUCCAGUAGGAGACAACGCACAAAUCACCGAAUACUUACACAAACAAUCAAACAAACUUGCACCCAACGCGAUAAAGGGGUUGUCAAUCCCUUCACGGUUACUUGCAAAAUUGAGAUUUGAUAGAGAUAGAUAAAUGAUAAAGUAAAUAUUUUUGGAAUUUUUGGUUUAAGAUCGGAUAGUAAAAGAUUGCAAGAAUACUACAUCGGAAACUAAAAUUGUAGAACGAAAACUUAUAUGAUGGAAAAGAGACCCGGGGGCCAUAGGUUUCACUAGAGGCUUCUAUCAAGAUAGAAAAUAAUACGGUGGGUGAACAAAUUACGACCGAGAAAUUGAUAGAAAAGCACAAAAUUAUGAGGAUAUCUAAGGCAAUGAUCAUGAAUAUAGGCAUCACGUCCGUGUCAAGUAGACCGAAACAAUUCUGCAUCUACUACUAUUACUCCACGCAUCGACUGCUAUCUAGCAUGCAUCUAGAGUAUUAAGUUCAUAAAGAACGGGGUAACGCAUUAAGUAAGAUGACAUGAUGUAGAGGAAUUAACUCAAGCAAUAUGAUGAAAACCCCAUCUUUUUAUCCUCGAUGGCAACAAUACAAUACGUGCCUUGCUUCCCCUACUGUCACUGGGAAAGGACACCGCAAGAUUGAACCCAAAUCUAAGCACUUCUCCCAUUGCAAGAAAAACCAAUCUAGUUGGCCAAACCAAACCGAUAAUUCAAAGAGACUUGCAAAGACAUCAAAUCAUGCAUAUAAGAAUUCAGAGAAGAUUCAAAUAAUAUUCAUGGAUAAGUUGAUCAUCAAUCCACAAUUCAUCAGUCUCGGCAAACACACCACAAAAAAGUAUUACAUCGAAUAGAUCUCCAAGAACAUCGAGAAGAACAUGAUAUUGGCAAUCAAAGAGAGACAAGAAGCCAUCUAGCUACUAGCUAUGGACCCGUAGGUCUGAGGUAGACUACUCACGCUUCAUCGGAAGGGCAGUGGUGUUGAUGUAGAAGCCCUCCGUGUUCGAAUCCCCCUCCGGCAAGACGCCUCAAAAGGUCCCUAGAUGGGAUCUCACGGGUACAAAAGGUUGCGGCGGUGGAAAAGUGUUUUUGUGGAUGCCCCUGUUGGUUUGGGGGUAUAUGGGAAUAUAUAGGAAAAAUAAUUAGGCCAGGAGACCCACGAGGGGCCCACAAGACAGGGGACGUGCCCUCCACCCUCGUGGCCGCCUCGUGGCUCCUCCGACUUCAUCUCCAAGUCUCCUGGUUUGCUUCUGGUCCAAGAAAGACCAUCGCAAAAGUCUUAUUCUGUUUGGACUCCAUUUGGUAUUCCUUUUCUGCGAAACUCUAAAACAGGGAAAAAACAGGAACUGGCACUGGGCUCUAGGUUAAUAGGUUAGUCCCAAAAAUAAUAUUAAAUAGCAUAAUAAUGCAUAUAAAACAUCCAAAACAGAUAAUAUAAUAGCAUGGAACAAUAAAAAAUUAUAGAUACAUUGGAGACGUAUCAGCGGACUAGGUCCGUGAUCUGAGGAUUAUCCUCAUUGUUGCACAGAAGAAUUAUAUCCUUGAUGCACCACUAGGUGAAAAACCUAUUGCAGGAGCAGAUGCAGACGUUAUGAAUGUUUGGCAAGCUCGAUAUAAUAAAUACUUGAUAGUUUAGUGCAACAUGCUUUACGACUUAGAAUCGGGACUUGAAAAAUGUUUUGAAUGCCACAGAGCAUAUGAGAUGUUCCAAGAGCUGAAAUUUGUAUUUCAGACUCAUGCCCAUGUCAAGAGGUAUGAGACCUCUGACAAGUACUUUUCCUAAAAGAUGGAGUAGAAUAGCUCAACUAGUGAGCAUGUGCUCAAAAUGUCUGGGUACUACAAUCGCUUGAAUCAAGUGGGAGUUAAUCUUCCAGAUAAGAUAGUGAUUGACAGAGUUCUCUAGUCACUACAACCAAGCUACUAGAACUUCGUGAUGAACUAUAAUAUGCAAGGGAUGACGAAAACGAUUCCCGAGCUUUUUGUGAUGCUGAAAUCGGCGAAGGUGGAAAUCAAGAAAGAGCAUCAAAUAUUGAUGGUUAACAAGACCACUAGUUUCAAGAAAAAGGGCAAGGGAAAGAAAGGAAACUUCAAGAAGAAUGGCAAGCAAGUUGUCACUCCAUGAACAAGCCCAAAUCUAUACCUAAGCCUAAAACUAAGUGCUUCUACUGCAAUGGGAAUGGUCACUAAAAGCGGAACUACCCCAAAUACUUGGCGGAUAAGAAGGAUGGCAAAGUAAACAAAGGUAUAUUUGAUAUACAUGUUAUUGAUGUGUACCUUACUAGUAUUCAUAGUAGCUCCUGGAUAUUUGAUACCGGUUCGGUUGCUAAGAUUAGUAACUCGAAACAGGAGUUGCAGAAUAAAUGGAGACUAGUUGAGGAUGAGGUGACGAUGUGUGUUGGAAGUGGUUCCAAGAUUGAUAUGAUCAUCAUCGCACACUCCCUAUACUUUCGGGAUUAGUGUUGAACCUAAAUGAAAUGUUAUUUGGUGUAUGCAUUGAGCAUGAACAAGAUAGGAUCGUGUUUAUUGCAAUACGAUUAUUCAUUUAAUUCAGAGAAUAAUUGUUAUUCUAUUUACAUGAAUAAAACCUUCUAUGGUCAUAUACCCAAUGUGAAUGGUUUAAUGAAUCUCGAUUGUAGUGAUACACAUAUUCAUAAUAUCGAUGCCAAGAGAUGCAAAGUUGAUAAUGAUAGUGCAACAUACUUGUGGCAUUGCCGUUUAGGUCAUAUUGGUGUAAAGCGCAUGAAGAAAAUCCAUAUGGAUGGACUUUUGGGAUCACUUGAUUAUAAAUCAUUUGAUACUUGCGAACCAUGCCUCAUGGGCAAGAUAACUAAAACGCCGUUCUUUGGAACAAUGGAGCGAGUUAAUAACUUAUUGGAAAUAAUACAUACCGAUGUAUGAGGUCCGAUGAGUGUUGAAUCACGUGGCGGGUAUCAUUAUUUUCUCACCUUCACUGAUGAUUUAAGUAGAUAUGAGUAUAUCUACUUCAUGAAACACAAGUCUGAAACAUUUGAAAAGUUCAAAGAAUUUCAGAGUGAAGAGGAGAAUCAUCGUAACAAGAAAAUAAAGUUUCUAUGAUCUGAUCACAGAGGCGAAUAUUUGAGUUACGAGUUUGGCCUUCAUCUAAACAAUGUGGAAUUAUUUCACAACUCACGCCACCUGGAACACCACAGCGUAAUGGUGUGUCCGAAUGUCGUAACCGCUCUUUAUUAGAUAUGGUGUGAUAUAUGAUGUCUCUUACUGAUUUACCACUAUCGUUUUGGGGUUAUGCGUUAGAGACAGCCGCAUUCAUGUUAAAUAGGGCACCGUCUAAUUCUGUUGAGAUGACACAGUAUGAACUGUGGUUUAGCAAGAAACCUAUGCUGUCAUUUCUUAAAAUUUGGGGUUGCGACACUUAUGUCAAAAGGCUUCAACCUGAUAAGAUCGAACCCGAAUCAGAGAAGUGCAUCUUCAUAGGAUACCCUAAGGAAAAAAUUGGGUACACCUUCCAUCACAGAUCUGAAGGCAAGAUCUUUAUUUCUAAGAAUGGGUCCGAAGGAGUUUCUCUCGAAAGAAGUGAGUGGGAGGAAAGUACAACUUGAUGAGGUAAAUGUACCUUCUCUCCAAUUGGAAAGUAGUACAUCAGAGAAAACUAUUCCCGUGAUGCCUACACCAACUAGAGAGGAAGCUAAGUAUGAUGAUCAAGAAACUUCAGAUCAAGUUACUACUAAAUUUCGUAGGUCGACCAGAGCACGAUCCGCACCAGAGUGGUACGGUAAUCUUGUCCUAGAAGUCAUGUUACUAGACCAAGGCGAACCUACAAACUAUGAAGAAGCUAUGAUGAGCCCAGAUUCCAACAGAUGGCUUGACGCCAUAAAUCUGAGAUAGGAUCCAUAUAUGAGAACAAAGUGUGGACUUUGGUGGACUUACCCGAUGAUCGGCAAGCCAUAGAGAAUAAAUGGAUCUUCAAGAAGAAGACUGACGAUGAUGGUAAUAUUACUAUCUACAAAGCUUGACUUGUCACAAAAAGGUUUUCGACAAGUUCAAGGGGUUGACUACAAUGAGACUUUCUCAACCGUAGCGAUGCUUAAGUCCGUCUGAAUCAUGUUAGAAAUUGCCACAUUUUAUGAAAUCGGGCAAAUGGAUGUCAGAACUGUAUUUCGUAAAUGGAUAUCUCUAAGAAAAGUUGUACAUGAUGCAACCAGAAGGUUUUGUCGAUCCUAAAUGUGCUAACAAGGUGUGCAAGCUCCAGCGAUCCAUCUAUGGACUGGUGCAAGCAUCUCAGAGUUGGAAUAUACGCUUUAAUGAGGUGAUCAAAGCAUAUGGUUUUCUACAGACUUACGGUGAAGCCUGUAUUUACAAUAAAGUGAGUGGGAGCUAUGUAACAUUUCUGAUAUUAUAUGUGGAUAACAUAUUGUUGAUUGGAAAUGAUAUAGAAUUUCUGGAUAGCAUAAAAGGAAAAUUGAAUAAGAAUUUUUCAAUGAAAGACCUCCGUGAAGCUGCUUACAUAUUGGGCAUCAGGAUCUAUAGAGAUAGAUCAAGACGCUUGAUAAGACUUUCAAUGAGUACAUACCUUGACAAGAUUUUGAAGGAGUUCAAAAUGGAUCAGUUAAAGAAGGAGUUCUUGCCUGUAUUGUAAGGUGUGAAGUUGAGUAAAGACUCAAAACCCGACCACGGCAGAAGAUAAAGAGAGAAUGAAAGUCAUUCCCUAUGCCUCAGCCAUAGGUUCUAUGAAGUAUGCCAUGCUGUGUACCAAACCUGUUAUGUACCUUGCCAUGAGUUUGACAAGGGGGUAUAAUAGUGAUCCGGGAAUAGAUCACUGGACAACAAUCAAAAUUAUCCUUAGUUACCUUAAAAAAGACUAAGGAAAUUUUUCUCGGUUAUGGAGGUGAUAAAGAGUUUGCCGUAAAGAGUUACAUCAAUGCAAGCUUUGGCACUGAUCUAUAUGAUUCUAAGUCUCAAUCUAGAUACGUAUUCAACUGGGAGUAAUUAGCUAGAGUAGAUCCAUGCAUAGCAUUGUAGACAUAGAAAUUUGCAGAAUACAUACGGAUCUGAACAUGGUAGACCAGUUGACUAAACCUCUCUCACAAGCAAAACAUGAUCACACCUUAGUACUCUUUGGGUGUUAAUCACAUGGCGAUGUGAACUAGAUUAUUGACUCUAUUAAACCCUUUGGGUGUUGGUCACAUGGCAAUGUGAACUAUGGGUGUUAAUCACAUGACAAUGUGAACUAUUGGUGUUAAAUCACAUGGCAAUGUGAACUAGAUUAUUGACUCUAGUGCAAGUUGGAGACGGAAGGAAAUAUGCCAUAGAGGCAAUAAUAAAGUUGUUAUUAUAUAUUUCCUUAUAUCAUGAUAAAUGUUUAUUAUUCAUGCUAGAAUUGUAUUAACCGAAAACUUGAUACAUGUGUGGAUACAUAGACAAAACACCAUGUCCCUAGUAAGCCUCUACUAGACUAGCUCGUUAAUCAAAGAUGGUUAAGUUUCCCCAUAGACAUGUGUUGUCAUUUGAUGAACGGGAUCACAUCAUUAGGAGAAUGAUGUGAUGGACAAGACCCACCCGUUAGCAUAGCAUAUUGAUCGUUCAGUUUUAUUGCUAUUGCUUUUUUCAUGUCAAAUACAUAUUCCUUCGACUAUGAGAUUAUGCAACUCUCGGAUACCGGAGGAAUGCCUUAUGUGCUAUCAAAUGUCACAACGUAACUGGGUGAUUAUAAAUAUGCUCUACAGGUAUCUCCGAAGGUGUUUGUUGAGUUGGCAUAGAUGAGAUUUCGAUUUGUCACUCAGAGUAUCGGAAAGGUAUCUCUGGGCCCUCUCGGUAAUACACAUCAUAAGAAGGCUUGCAAGCAAAGUGACUAAUCAUUUAGUUGUAGGAUGAUGUAUUACGGAACGAGUAAAGAGACUUGCCGAUAACGAGAUUGAACUAGGUAAGAAGAUACCGACGAUCGAAUCUCGAGCAAGUAACAUACCGAUGGACAAAGGGAAUAACGUAUGUUGUCAUAACUGUUCAACCGAUAAAGAUCUUCGUAGAAUAUGUGGGAGACAAUAUGAGCAUCCAGGUUCCGCUAUUGGUUAUUGACGGAAGAGGUGUCUCGGUCAUGUCUACAUAGUUCUUGAACCUGUAGGGUCCGCACGGUUAACGUUCGAUGAUGAUAUAGUAUUAUAUGAGUUAUGUGAUUUGGUGACCGAAUGUUGUCCGGAGUCCCGGAUGAGAUCAUGGACAUGAUGAGGAGUCUCGAAAUGGUCGAGAGGUAAAGAUUGAUAUAUAGGACGAUGGAAUUCGGACACCGGAAGUGUUUCAGAGGGGGUUCUGAGCACUCCCGGCAAAAGAUAUGGGCCUUAUGGGCCAAAAGGGGAAACACACCAGCCACAAGGGGCUGGUGCGCCCCCCAUAUGGACCGACCAAAGAGGAGAAGGAAAGAGGGGAAGGGAAAAAGUAAAAGUAGGAAGUACUACUUCCUUCUUCCCCCUUUCCUCCCCCCUCCAACAAUUUAUGGAAAGGGGGGCGCCACUUAGGAAACCCCCAAGUAGGAUUUGGAUCCUACUUGGGGCGCCCAUGGCUGCCUCCCCUCUCCCUCCCACCUAUAUAUAUGAGGAGGGGGCGCCUAGCACACCCACAACAUAAUCUUAGCCGUGUGUGGCGCCCCCCUCCACAAUUUACACUCUCGGUCAUAUUUUCGUAGUGCUUAGGCGAAGCCCUGCAAGGAUCACUUCACCAUCACCGUCACCACGUCGUCAUGCUGAUGGAACUCAUCUACUACCUCGAAGACUUGCUGGAUCAAGAAGGCAAGGGACGUCACCGAGCUGAACGUGUGUAGAACUCAGCGGUGUCGUACGUUCGGUACUCGAUCGGUGAAUUGUGAAGAAAGUUCGACUACAUCGGUCAUGUUGUGAAACGCUUCCGCUUACGGUCUACAAGGGUAUGUAGACAAACUCUCCCCCCUCGUUGCUAUGCAUCUCCUAGAUAGAUCUUGCGUGAGCAUAGGAAUUUUUUUGAAAUGGCAUGUUACGUUUCCCAACACGAAGGGCAUGCAGGUGUAACAAUACACGUCGCAUGGGGAGAGGAAGGUUGUCUUCUCAACAUCCUUUACCGCCAUCUUGAUCUGGUGAUAGCCUGAGAAGGCGUCUAAGAAGCACAGCAGAUCGCACUCGGCGGUGGAAUCCACGAUUUGAUCGAUGUGCGGGAGCGGGAAAGGGUCCUGAGGGCAGGCCUUGUUGAGCCUCGUGAAGUUGACACACAUGCGCUCUUUCCCGCCCUUCUUGGGGAUGAUGACUGGAUUAGCCAGCCACUCCGGGUGCCGCACCUCCCGAAUGACGCCGGCUUCUUGCAGCUUCCGGACCUCCUGGACAAUGGAUGCUUGUUUCUCUUGGGGUUGUCAUCAUGCCUUCUGUUUCACCGGGCGUGCAUUGGGGCACACCAUCAAGUGGUGCUCGAUCACGUCCUUGUUUGCCCUGAGGAAACCAACCAACGCCUCCUCUUGCUCCGGAGGGAGGCCGGCGCCUAUGGUGAAAGUGGGGCCUAAGCCCCCGUCAUCGAUAGGUACCUGCUUCUUCUCGGCUCGUUCCUAAGAGAACAACUUCUUCUUAGCGCGUGCGUCCUCCGGAGGCUCGGCGACGCUCACCACAUCGGGGCGCGAGGCCGUUGCGGCCUUGUAGACAGACUUGAGGGCUCGAAGCGCGUCUUUGGUGUCCCCGACUACAGAAAUGAUGUUGUUGCUCCCAGGCAUCUUGAUAACGUUGUAGCCUGAGUGCGUAGUUGCCAUGAACUUGGCGAGGGCCGGAUGCCCCAGAAUGGCAUUGUACGGGAGGAUGAUGCAGGCCACGUCGAAGUCGAUCAACUCAGUGCAGUAGUUGCCGCAAGUGCCGAAGGUGACGGGGAGGCGCACGUGCCCUAGGGGAGUGGUGGAGCCUUUGGCAACCCCCGAGAAGGGAUUAGUGGGCACGAUCUGGUCGUAGGGAACCUGGAGCAUGCUGAAGGCCUCCACGGAGAGGACGUUGAGGUCGGUGCCACCGUCAAUGAGGGUGGGAGUAACCGCCACAUUAUUGAUGGUAGCCAUGCACAACAUGGGGAACGCACUAGCGGCAACCAUAGUCUUGGGAUGAUCCCUGAAGUCGAAGGUGAUGUCGGUCUUUGGCAUUGCACGGCUCUGCGGGACCUCCUACUGUGGCCGGGGAGCGCCUACCCGGCAAAGGAGCUGCUUGACGUGGCGGCCAUACGCGGGCGCCUGCGACCCACCGAGGAUACACACAAACGUGUGAGGUUCGGGGGCCACGAAACACGCGAUGAAUAGAUGGUAGAGCUCCUCCCAGGUGGACACUGAGGCCUCGGGGAGGCCACGAAGCCAGGAGCACGGCAUCUCUGUGAGGGCCAGAGGGAGCCAGUUCGCCAUGGCUUUGUUGUCACCGCCGACCGCCCUGAUGGCAUGUGCAUACAGCCGAAGGAACUCCUUGGGGUCUGCCAAGCCGUCAUAUCGCGGGGGCAGCACCGGCCUAAACUUCGCUGGCCACCGCACCCGACGCAGGAUGGGGGUGAAGGCCUGGCAGCCCGCAACAUCUCCAUAGGCCACGGGCGGCCAAAUCGGCAACGCAACGUCCGCCAUGGAAACCACGAGGCGAGGGCAAAGCGCGGUCGGCAGAGAAGCGAAACCUCGACACGCCCCUACCUGGCGCACCAAAUGUCGGAUUCAGGGCUCCGUGGACCCAAGAAGGUUUGAACGCUAGGGCGUGUGUGAAGAUCUCAACCUCUCGAGUCUCUGCUCGCCACCCUUCAGCCUAGCUGCGUCGAGCGCACGCGAAUGAGGAGGAAGAAGAUGAACACGGCAGUUUACCCAGGUUUGGGCCACCUUGCGGUGUAAAACCCUACUCCUGCUUUGUGGUGGAUUGGCCUCACGAGGAGGCUGAGUAUGAACUAGUACAAUGGUUUGAGCGGCCCCGUGAGGGCUCAAGAACGGGGUUGAAAAAGAUUUGAUCCCCAUCGUGGUGGCAGCUAACCUAUAUUUAUAGUGGCCUCGGUCCUCUUCCAUCAAAGCUUAGACGGGAAGGGAUCCCACAACGGACAAUUUUGAAAGUGGACAAGUAGUACAUCUUAUCCUGACGAAAGGUAGUCUUCGCCUGCAAAGCCUCGGGCCAUAACGGACCAGUGGGCUCGGCGAUGACAUCCGUCCAGCCGAGCCCGUGGUCUUGGUCUCGUUGCACUGGAAUGGGAAGCUUGCAAGCCUUCCUCGAGAACCUGCGCCUGUCCUUGCUCCCGUUGCACCAAAGGGAAAACUGCCUCCUUUCCCGUUGGCACCCGCCUGGCCACAAUCAUCAUGGCUCACGUCAUCGUGACCUCGUGAGGCCGGGUUCCUGCAUAGAAAUCUCCGCUCCUCGGGAGGCAGCCUGAGGAGGCCACUCCUCUGGAGGUCUUGGUGUCGCCAACCUCGCGAGGCCAGGGGGCCUCGCGAGGGUCUUGUCCCUGGGGUGUUGUAGCCGAUCUGUACCAGGCUUUUGAUGGGCCCACAUGCUGGGCUGCAGGCAGGCAGGCCUGGGUACCCCCGAUCCCAGGACGCGGACAGAGUCUAUGGAAGUAAGGCUGAAGUUGAUGUUCAAUUCCUAUGAAAUUGAGGUAUAGGAAUACAAUUUCAAAUGAAUUUGGGUGCCACUGUUACUUCAAUCCAAAGGCAUUCCUUAACGGGAAAAUAUGAAGGCCUCCUUUGGCUCAUAGAAUAGUAAUAUCAUAGGAAUAGAAAAUUUAUAAGUGAGAUGACAUGUAUCUCAAUUCUUAUAGAGAAAGAGAUUUCACUUGGUUCAUAGAAUAUGAAUUUGUUUCACUGGGUUUAGGCUAAUGUUUUUUUCUUUGAAAUGUGAAGGAUUGGUUUCGAUCCUACAUAGGAAUAGGAAUCCAUUCCUAAGAUCCAAAGGACCCCAGAGAAAUUUUUCCUACAAUCCUAUCCAUUAGAAUUUCUAUAAAGUUACACUAGACUAAAGGAGGCCUAAGAAUAACAAUCCUACAAAAUUCCCGCAAUCCGAAGCAUUGACGAUUCACUGGUGGUGGCAAGGAAUAAGACCUCGUAUGUCACGCGUUGCGCGCGGAAUAGGGCGAGCCACACACACUGUGCAAUGGCGGACCGACCCAUUUAUGGCUUUGCAGGGUUCUUUUCUUCAAAAAAAUCUUUGUCCAAAAAGUCUCUGGAUACCCCGUGCGCACGGGCCUAGAAGACCCCUGUGUGCACAUGGCCCCUCGCUGUAGAAGCUGCUGAGCCCGUGCGCACAGGUUUGUAUCGUGCGCACGGGCCUCACUUACCCCGUGCGCACGGGCUCUACGGGAUGGACGUGCCUAUAUAAUCCGUACCUUGGGUCAUGUUUAGGGUUCGCAAAGACAUAUGUGAGAUAUUUUGAGAGUUUUGCUCCUUCUACCACUCCACUGGAGAUCAAGGCCUCUUAGGAGAGGAUCCACCUGUGAAUUUCAAGAUCUCCACUUGGAGAAGACUAUCAUCAAGACCUCACCUCCUUAGGAGUGGGAAGAACCUUUAUCUAGUGCUUGUUUCCUUUGAUUGUUCAUGUAUUAUGGACCUAUGUGUUUACUAUUCUACUAGAUGUGUAAUUGGAUGUUGUUGGAGUGAUUUCCUCUUUGUGUUCUUUGUGUUCAUCUCCUUUCUCUCCUCCAAGUGUGAAAAGAUCCCUCUUAGGGUUUCACCCUACAACAGUUACAUUCAUAUGUAUAAAUGUCCUUCCAAUAUUUAACAGUCAUCAUGUGUUUGAAAAUUUUAACGGCAAACUUGAAAAAUGGUCACCCUGUAUUGUAGAAUUGUUCAUUGUAUAUUAAAAUAAACUAGAACAUGAAGGUGCGCUUUGACACGCCAGUUUGUUUUGAAACGUGUGAUAUAAUUUCAGAAUAGAUACAAAUGGUCAAAUACAUCAAAAUGAUAUAUUUCACCGGAGAAAUACACCGUAAUAGUUCUUAGGGAAACACUGGCGUUCAACUUACCGAUCUUUUCUUUUGCGUCCGCCGCGUCCUAUGCUUGCCAUGCAUCUUGAUUGGGCCCGCACACCGCAUUUCUUUUUCAUCCUUAUCUUCAUGGUAUGCUGGUCACUAAUCCGUUUUUGUAGCUACUCCCAUUCCUGCAAGUGGCCACCUGUUUCAGAAAGUAAACCACAACAAAUGCUAUGUUGCGGACCAUCUGCCAGUCCCUUUGUUUGACAUGUGGCCGCCCACGUCUUAUCUCUUCGUCUCUCUGCGUCAUCUUAUCUCUUUUUCAACCUCUCCCCCUUGUAUACAAGUGUCUAUCAAUGGUGUACAUCUAGCCGGUGAGGAGGAUGGUGAUGAAGCAAGCGGCGCGAUGGGGGGACGGGCGAUGCAUCUCCUCCCUCACCACCGUCUGGCGGGCGCACGUCGGCAGCGACGCGAUGGCAGGGAUGGGCGGCGCCGCUCCCCCUCACCACCAUCCGGCAGGAGCUCGUGGCAAACAACAAUGGUGUUUUUUUGCAACAUUGAAUUUGUUGCAAGGAAGAUUUCUGCAAUACUAGUCAUGUUGCAAAACUUUCUUUCGUACCACCAUAUGAAGGUGAGACCAAAAAAAAACUGCAACAACACCUCAGUUGCAAAGUUUUUCUGCAACAAUUUGCUGCAAGAAAAAUGAAGACAAAAAAAUAAAUUCCGCAACACGAGCUAUGUUGUAAAAAGAAUCCCACAAAAGUCCACAAGAUCAUUCAUGUUACAAGUGUUUCUGCAACAAGGUCUCUGUUGCAAAGUAGAGAAAGACAUGCAUCCGCUCGAUUUAUCAAAUCCGACGGCUCGUGAGGCGGUAAAAAGAUCCGCCGACCGACGCGUAGCAGUCCCCUAUUUCUUAUCAACAUUGUAGGUUUUUUACCGCUGCAAUUGCAAUGGUUGUUCUAGGACAAAAUUUCCUCCUUUUACAUCCAAUACUAAUAUCAGUAUAAGUCGGGUACUUAUGAAAAUCAUACUUCUCCAGGAUUUCUUCAAUCUAUUUUCAAAUCUGAUGAUUUUCCAAUCCACAAAGGGUUGUCUUAUACCAAUAGUCUUACACGAAGAACAAUGUUCUCAUAGCAUGCCUUCUGUGACAUGUAACAGAACUGAUAUACUAAUUCAAUAUUCACAUAACAGUCAAAUCUUCAAUUGAAAAAAAUCUUCAGCAGCGAAGGCAGCACAUGCAUUUCAAGCCAACAAACUGUAUAAACCUAACAAUAGAGGGGAUACUGAAUUAACGAUAGUUCUAGUAUCAAAUGCAACAUCAAGGGAAGUUAAUGUGUUGUACACAUUGUAUAGCUCACUCAUCGCUCAGGUACAGUUGACGGUGCGACUGAUGAAUUAUUGGGUUUUACCAUGUAAAGUAUGGCAAUCGCCAAGCAAUCUAUGUACCAGACUAUCAAUCAACCUAACGAGUAUGCAGAUGACAUAUCCCUGUGACUGAGUUACAACAGUAUGAAGUCCAAUGUAACAGAAGAUUUGAGGGGAGAAUGUGGGCCUGAACUCCAACAAUCAAGAGGAUGCAGCUGUAAAUGGUUCACUAGCCUCCAGAAGCUUGUCAAGCAAGCCGGUGAACACAACAGAAUCAGUCUCAUUGGGCUUGAAUUUGAGGAGAGCAGAAGGUACUAGGCCUUCAUCUUGCAACGUGCGUGCCCGCUCUCCUGUAUUUGGGGAAUGCGGUAGCACACGUGACCUAGGAACAGCUGGACAGAUAAGAUCAAAUUCCAAACCUGGCUGCUUCAAAGCAUCCGCGACAAACUGCAUCAGGGAAAGCAGCAGAUUAACCAAAAUGCUACACAACCAGUAAUGAAAUGAAUACACAAUGCUAGAAGAAUAUAGCUUUAAACACUACUUCCUUCGUUCCAUAAUUCUUGUCACAGUUUGAGUUCAAAUUUGAACGAGAACCACGACAAGAAUUAAGAAUCGGAGGGAGUAAAAUAACAUUUGGAUAGCCCGACAUAGGCAUGUGAACAACUUCAUGCCUUCCACAUACAUAAAGACUGUUAUUUACAGCUUCGCCAGUGGCCCAUAAGCCAAACUCACAAACUCCAGAAUUACACUUGGGAGUGUUCAUGCCAAUUGACAAAUAAUCAGUAGCACAAAAUACAUAGUGUAUAUGACAAGUUACAACUCCUAGAGUGGAAUCAAAUACUAAAAGAUUCACCACCUCAUUCUGGAUUGCGAGAUAUACAGAUGAUACUCAAUGGGACAAAAUCAUAUGGACGAACAAGCAUAGAGGGCAGAAGUACCUCAUAUAGUGAACCAGUAGCCUCCGCUGGAAGGAAUACACCCUGGAGAAUUACUCCAUCAGGAAACUGAACUCGGAUGACAGCUUGUUUGUACUUCUGUCGAGCAGCCAGUGCCUGCUUCUCCUUAUAUGACUUUGGAAUUAGCAACCGAGAUUGUUCCAGCCUUUCCCUCCUCAUCUUUGCCUCAUUCCUUACCUCCUCACCACUAAGUUUGUAGAAAGAAUCCGGUGUAUCAAUUUCUGCAACAGAACUUCCAGGGACAUUGAAGAAUACCCGAAUCUGUGAAUUUAUCAUGGAAGUUUAAUAAAUUACAUUUCUAAGGACAUAUAAAUGGGAUCAACAGCAAACUGCAAAAUGGACAAUCAAUUGCACAACAUAACAGAAAAAGGAGGCAUCAGAGCACAUAUAGUCGUAUAUAUGCUAAAUUUCAGGUUUGAAAAGAAAUAUUCUUACAGUAAUUACUAAAUUCAACAUGUUGAGGAAAAAUAAAAUAAAACAAGUGGUGAAUCACAGUUUGCGGAUCUGACAUUUCUGCCAACAGAUGCACAUAUAUUAUAUCGGACGCUGAUAUAUCCCUGCCAACUUAUGCACAUAUAUAUCAGACGCUGAUAUAUCCCAAUACCAUGAUAUGCAUCUUAUUGGAAGUACAUGCUGGGAGCUGUGACAUGUCAAUUUAGCUUCUUCAAUCAGAAGUUGCAACAGUUUUACCUGAACCCAUACGUGAUACGUCCAUCCCCGCAAGUAAGAUCAGAUUCAAAAAUAAAAUCCGAAUAUCUGCAUCUGAUAUAUAAUCAGGACCAAGUGCCAAUGUUUCAUUAGAACUAAUUGCUCUACAAUUUUUGAAAUAUACUCCCUCCGUCCCAUAAUGUAAGACGUUUUUUGACACUACAUUAUGGGACGGAGGGAGUACAUUUUAUCAUUGGACAACUGUAUACAAUGCUUUUUUUUUGUAGCAUUUGUCUUGCACGAUAGAGACAACAUGUAGUUUUAUCUCAAACAGGAACAUCAUAAAGAUGCCAUUCCACAUACUUUGUAGCAAAAAGUAACAACAUUGACAAAACGCUACAAUGUUCAGAACAUAGAAAUAACUUAAUUUAUGUAUGAACUAAAAAUUAUAGGUAUACAAAGGACAGGCCAAAUCUUCCAAAGUGUACUGUGUACAACAAUACAAAAGACAGGCCAAAACUCAAACAUGAAUAAGAAGUGUACGACAAUAUAAAAGACAGGCCAAAACUCAAACAUGAAUAUAGAAGUGUACAGCCAAAGGAAGUAUCACAUUUUACAUACUACUUAGUUUGCUACAUUCUGACCUCCGACAUAUGGAGUAAUAUAGACUGUGCAAGUUCUGUGGAAUUCCACAAUAUCUCAUGGAAAUGGUACCACAUUGUUAAGACAUGCCUAUAUAUGAACAUGACCGCAGAAUUUAUACACUGACCUCACAGAAAUGGCACCACAUUUUUAUGAUCUAUUGGUGUAAGAACAUCAAUAUUCGGUCAUUUUUACUCAUCACUAAGUUCAAACAAAAUAUAUUUCUCACGAGUAAAGAUGUGGCAUGGGUAUACCCAGAAUAUCAGAGUGUGGACAAACCAAACUAUCCAUGCAGUACAAUCCAAAAUAUGAUCAUUCACAUAACCAAUUGAUGGAGUAUAUUGAAUUAGACGCCUGCUCACCUGACGAUCAACAAUCUUGUUAACCUCCUUUUGCUCAUCGACUCCGCUGCGGCAGCUCUCUUUGGACUCAGACCCGGCCAGCGUCGGUAGCGGUGCCGAAGGAUGGGACCUCUCAAGCAGGAGCACAGCCUGCCUGAUCCCGCUAAGCCUUGCUUCGGCAGGAGUCUCGUCCAUCACGGCANNNNNNNNNNNNNNNNNNNNNNNNNNNNNNNNNNNNNNNNNNNNNNNNNNNNNNNNNNNNNNNNNNNNNNNNNNNNNNNNNNNNNNNNNNNNNNNNNNNNNNNNNNNNNNNNNNNNNNNNNNNNNNNNNNNNNNNNNNNNNNNNNNNNNNNNNNNNNNNNNNNNNNNNNNNNNNNNNNNNNNNNNNNNNNNNNNNNNNNNNNNNNNNNNNNNNNNNNNNNNNNNNNNNNNNNNNNNNNNNNNNNNNNNNNNNNNNNNNNNNNNNNNNNNNNNNNNNNNNNNNNNNNNNNNNNNNNNNNNNNNNNNNNNNNNNNNNNNNNNNNNNNNNNNNNNNNNNNNNNNNNNNNNNNNNNNNNNNNNNNNNNNNNNNNNNNNNNNNNNNNNNNNNNNNNNNNNNNNNNNNNNNNNNNNNNNNNNNNNNNNNNNNNNNNNNNNNNNNNNNNNNNNNNNNNNNNNNNNNNNNNNNNNNNNNNNNNNNNNNNNNNNNNNNNNNNNNNNNNNNNNNNNNNNNNNNNNNNNAGGAGGAGAUGACGGCGGUGAAGGGGGUGAAGGGGGUGAAUUCGGAGGGGCCGGCCGGGCGCGGGGGCUGCUGCUUGGGGGCGGGCCUGGGGUUAGGGUUAGGGUUUGAGGGGCGGGAGGAGGAGGUGGAGGCGGAGGGGGGAGGGCCGGAGCCGAGGACGUGGGAGGGGCCCUUGAAGGACGGGGCGGAGGAGGAGGUGACCUUCUUCAUGAGAUCCUUCAUCUUGUCCUUCAUCAUGGAGGCCGGCGGCGACGAGGUGUAGGCGGCGGAGGAGGAGGAGGAAGAAGAUUGGCGUGGACGGGGAGUAGACUUGGUGGUGGUUGUCUUGUCUCCGCGGGGUUCGUUCGAGGGGAAGAAGCAACGCGAGGGGGGCGAAUUGAUAAAGAAGGAAGAGCUACGGAAGUACGGAGGUGGAGAUCCAGCUGGGAAAUGAAGCCGGGCAUCCGGCAAUGGUACUAGUAUGGUACUUCGCUGCCAAGGCAUCUUCGCCGAGUGGGCCGGGCCGCAGAGGGCCAACCACCAUGGCCCAUCGGGGCGGCUAUACUCGUGG